UGCUGAUAGAAGUACUUUGGCAGUUCCUCCAUCAGGGUGACAUCCAGCAUCGAUCAUUUCUUCAAAGAUUUCCAAGCAUCUUGCGUAUAGUUUCUUUCUAGAGUAGGCUCCUAAUCUUGAAGUCCAAGUCACAACAUCAGGUUUCAGAUUUUUGGUUGGAAGUGAUUGGAAAAUACCUUCCAUUUCUCGAAAAAUCCUGCUCGUCCAUAUAUGUUGAUUAAGAUGUUGUAUGUACUGAUAUCAGCUCCAUAAGGUCCCUUUUCCAUUGCAGUUAGAACUUCCUCCAUCUUUUCAAAUUGGCCAAGCCGGCCAUACAAGUGCAUCAUGCUGUUGAGGACAAACGUGUCUGGUUCAAGCCCAGAUUCGCUCAUCUGGUUAACAAUUUCUUCGCAUUUAUCCACAUUUCUUGCUCUUGAGUAGGCACACAGAAGUAGCAUGUGUGAUUUCAUUGUAGGGGUUAUUCCUAGUCGCUUCAUCUCAUUGAAUACCGCUUGAGCAUCUAAAAAACAAAUAGGAGCAGCCAAAUCAUUAAGCCAAAAUUACGAGGAGCUUAUACGAAAAACAAGACGAACUUCUUCCAAGUAGGAAAGGUGUCGCAAAUGGAUGAAAUGCUGAUAGCCUGAUAAUAUCUCAUAUAACUUUAUCUUGUUUCCUAGGAAAUCUUAGAAAGAUUAUGGCAGAUCUCCAGAAUAAAAUUGAACACUGUUCCAAAAUAUAAUCCAAAUGUUGCAAUAUAGAUCCCUUCAAGUUCGUAGUUGAUCCGAACGUUUUUAAACCAUUACAUGCUCAAACUGUUCCCAAAUUCUCUGGAGCUUAAUCAUUUUCCAAUUCUCACUUAAUAAAGUACAUUGAUACUAUUUGGUUCAAGCAUCUUACCCUCAUGAAGGCCAGCUCUCCCAUACGCAUCUACCAUGAUGUUAUAUGAAGCUCUAUCCGGCUCACAGCCCAUGUGCCGCAUGAGUGAAAAUAUUUCUGCAGCCCCGUAAGCAAAACCUGCACGACUGUCAGGACAAGAUCGCUAAAAUCAUCAGUUCUAUUGGGAAUCUCUCUUGGAAGCAAGAAGCAGCACCUCCAGUAUUCUUUUUUUAUUUUCUUUGAAAGAUUAUUGAAACACCAUAUCAUUCUAUGAUACUAACCUGUAAGCUUCCAUGAGUGCAUUGUAAGUAUACACAUCAGGCUCAAGCUUAUCUUCUUGCAUCUGCUCAAAUAUUUCUUCUGCCUUCUCACAGAGUCCCUCUCUAGCAAACGCGUUCACCAGAGCUGUGUAUGUGCAGAUAUCUGGUCUGCAUUUUUGACUUCUCAUUUCGUUAAACAACUUCAAGGCCAUGUAAGAUUGACUUGCCUGUGUACAGGAAAAAGAUUAGCAAAAUGAGUUUUUAAGGAUCCUAAACACCACUGUUGUCCAGGGUUAUCAGAAUUAAUAACCAUAUCUUUGAAUUUAGUCUGAUAAUUGUUUGAAAUUAAAUGCAUAUAUUUCAAGUUGUUUCGUAGACUUUAUGCAUAAUUUUCUACUGGGACCAGUGGCAUUUCAAGAAGAUCAGAUUUGAAGAAUAAUUCAGAACCAAAUACCACUGAGCUUACCUUCCCAUGAAGGUUGAUCAACAGUGUAUAGGUGUCAGUAGAGGGCUGGCAGCCAUCAUUUUUCAUUCGCUGAAAGAUCUCAAUUGCUCUUUGAGGGUUUCCAGCCUUCGUUAACCCAUCAAUAUAAGCAUUGUAUACAAUUGCACCUGGCCAAAAUUAGAGUAUACGCUCACUUUUCACUCCUUGAAUGUGCAUGCAAGUGUAUCAACAGAACAGCUUGAAAAAUGAAAAUCUGAGAAGUGUAAAUAAGAUAACGAAACACAAAAGCAGAACUAAUGCCCUGUAUUUCACCACCACAAAAAGAAGAGAAAUAACCCACGCAUUCUCAUAAAGGAAAGCUACAGAAGCAAGUUUGUCAUCCAGGAGCCUCAAGCCUAAUCCAGUUCCGGUCUGGCUAAAUUAGCAAGGGGUCCCUCUUGGUUUAAUCAACCAUUCUCUAAGCAUGAUGAUGUAGAUAAGGAGUAGUAAUCACAACUAUUAUAGUAGCAACAAGAAAUAUGCAGACCAUGAACCAAUCUUCUCUUUUCCUACGUUUAGUAUACUUCACCCCCAAAAAGAAAAAAGAAAUACAGCCGUGCAAUUAUUGAGCAAGGUUUCCAAAUUUAACCCCACAAAAAAUCAAUUUUUGAGGCAAAGAAUCUUACAAGUUGAGGAAAUUUUUGUUUUAUAAAAAAUGGUUAAGACAGUCCAAUAACUUCUUGAAAAUACAAUUUCCCUAAAAGCUAAGAAGAAAUGAAUUGGUAAACACAUACUUGGAGGAAGGCCAUACUUUCGCAUAUCAACAAAGGCAGCUUCAGCUUUUUCUAACAAUCCACAUGCACAGUAAGCCUUUAUAAGAAGGGCAUAAGUGUCUUCAGUAGGGAUACACCUGGCUUGAAGAAGAUCAACAUAUGUUUCUUCUGCCUUCUUGUACAAAGAUUUUUGCCCAUAAGCAUCUAUUAGUAAAUUGUAGCACAUGACAUCUGUCUGGAAGGAGCUCUUGUACAAUAUCCAUUGACAUAUCUGGAAAUUUUAGAGUUACACCCAACAAGAUUAUUAAGAAUUAAGAACAAACGAUAUCAAAAAUGUCUAUAUAAUAAAUAGAGACAGUAAAGAGAUUUGUUUCAUUUAGUUGUAGGAAAAUGCUGGUAUAUGAGAAUUCCAAACACCAACUGCAGCACCAACCACUUAAAGGAGAUUUGAACAAUCGAGGAUUCAGUCUUAAUGGUUGAAGAGAAAAAUACUGUGCAAACAUCCUGCCACAAAAAUAUGUGCGUGCAAGGUGGUUUAAUCCAUCGCCUACCACCUUACACGAUGAAAGAAAUAAGGCACGAUUUACUCACCAAUGCAAUCGGAUCCCAUUGUUUAUUCAAACGAAGUUGGACGGCUACAUUAAUAAGAUCAUCCCAAGUCUCGUGAGUGACAGGAAGAGUAUCAAGAGCAGCCCAAACAUUAUUCGGAUCCACUUCUUUCCGCACAAAGUUCAGAAUCUGAUGAGCAACAGGACUUAGCACCGGGAAAAUUCCAUCAACAAAUCCAGAUCCAUAUUUCCAUCCUUGUCCCCUCAAAGAGCCACCUAGGUAAAUUAGACGACUUAAUAAUUAAAGCCAUAUUUGCUUGAGGGAGUUAUAUGUAUGAGCACAAAGUGAAUUACUCCGUAUUACAUCGUUUCCUGGACAUCUUUUUGUGAUCAAAGAUUCGCCAUUUGCCAUGUUUGUCGAUAUAGACCCUGUCGCUUUUCCACUUUUUAACAUCUCCACUACUGGAAUUCUUUUCUCUGCGUCUGAAAUGACCAUUCCGGAUUCUUGAUUCUAUAAAAAUAUGAUUCAGAGUGCAUCUAACAAGCAACCUGCAAACACUAAUCAAGUAAACACACAAUUGCCAGCAACAAAAUACACACCUCUUAAUUUAAAGCCAUUACACAGAGGAAGCAACCAAAUAAAAUCCAUAUAAAGGAUGCUUUAGACUUCAAAAUAAUUGGACAAAGAGAGACACUAAAACUACUUUCAAUCACAAUAGCAAACACAUGAAAUGCAAACCAGAAAACCUAGUUAAAAAGAAGAAGAAAAGUAGUCAACUUUCCCUUUCUAAACCCAAUAUCUUCUCCCUUUCUUCCGCAAAUAAUUCUUAACUGCUGUGAGUAUAGGUUGUAUUUUCAUUACAGAAUCAAAUAUUAGUCUAAUCUAUCUGAUUAAACUACAAAAAUCAAAAUUUGCAAGAUAAACAAGGCCACAACUGUUGAAGACUGGUUAGAGUUCAACAACGAUAAGCAUAGCACUCUGACAGCUAAAACUGGUCCAUCAUCUUAUAACUUCUGAAGUCACAGUAAGACUUUUUAGAUAAUGAUGAUUGCUCGUUCAAUAUAUAUGAGAGCCAACAAAAUGCUAAAACGUUUUAACUAAUAAGAACACAAAACAAUUUAGACAUAUUCUCUCAAGUGAACGUUGAUACUUAGCAAUUCCAUUGAAACCCAUUUCCCAGAACAAGAAAUUCCAUGAAAAAGCAAUAUUAUCCAGCAAGAGGAGAAACACCAGAAUUGAAGUUAAUAAAUACAGAAAAUAACAAGGCAGCAUGAACAGCAUUAGCAGUGGCAUUGCAUAAGGAAAGAGAGGAAGGAAGGAUACGACUUACAUGAAAGCAUAAAAGAGGAGUUUGGAGUUGGGUAUCUGUAAACAUCCAGAAAGCAAGAACAUAUGUGAAGAGUGUUUCUUGGAUAAUGGACUACAUGGGUGAAGACCAGCACUGCCAGACAAAAGUAGCUUCUGUUUUUUUCUGUUUACUAAGGGACAAAAACCUCAAAAUAUCUCUAACGAACUUAAGGAGUCAAACAAUAGCGUUAUUGUAGCCUCGUGAUUCUAUAUUGAGACAGUAGCUGUUAGCUAGAAGAUCAACAGUUAAUUUGUUUAAACACAAUGGACAAAUUAUUGUCAUUGUUAUUAGUAUAAUUUAACAGCAGACACUCCAGCUGAGCAUGAGAAUUGUUGCAAAGACGAAGCUAUGAAGUGCCAAUUGAGUUGCAAUUCGACUCUACUAGCAGAAGUUUCCAUGCUUAAAAAGCGAAAACUGCCGUCAAAAUGGGUUAAAAGGCUUAUUGAGGUUGCGGUGUUUUUUUGAUUUUUUUAAAAAUUAAUUUGUUUUUAUCUUUUCAGAGUUAAUAUUAAUUUUUUAAAAUAAUAAUAAAAAUAUCGUUUUAAUAUAAUUCCAAGCAAAAACAUAUUUCAAGGGCGAACACUUCCAUUCUCUUAAUAUAAACAGGGUUACGCCAUGCAUUUCCAUUUUUUCAACAGUAGUUUUGGCUGCAGUUAAGAUGGGGCAAAAUAAGCUAUAACUUUUGUGUGAACUGAAAAAUUGAGGCAAGUACAAGGACCCAAGAAUAAAGUAAGCAUUUUAAUUCGAUAUCCAUAUUCCAUGGUCCCUCUCUUUCCCUCUUCGGAGCUCCAUUGGAAUUAAAUGAGAACGGCCAUAUUACAGGUCAAGCAUUGAGAGGAGAUAAAUAUAAUUGAAAAGACCAAUUUUCUGCACUCUGUCAAACCUAUCAUAUAGGAAAUCAUAUUGAUGCAAAACUUUAGAAGCCAUCUAAGAUUGGAGAGAAGUCUUGUAACAUUUCCACAUCACAGUUCUACAAACGUGGAAUUAAUGGAAACUUCGGCUAAAAGCAACUGAUUCAAGCAAAUUCCAGAGGAAAGUAACACAAGUAUCUCGAUUGGUGUCAAUACUGGGAAGAACUCCACUUUAGCCAAAAAAUACAAUGUCUAUUCCACUUCAGCCAAAUAAUCAUCAAUUUCGGCUGGAGUUAGUACCCUGCAGUAAAGAAAGCUCAAGGGAUAAGAUUGCCAUGGUCAUGCCACACAUAAAUUCUUCCAAGGAAGCUUAAACAUCCAAAGAAAUAGUGGAUUGGCCAUUUUGAACACGAGAUCCAUAUGUAAAUUGUCAGACUGAAACUAGAGCAAGGGUGCGUGAAAAUCAGAACUUCAAAACUGAAACCACAAGUGGAAGGCCAUAUAUGAAAUUGGUGAGAUCCAAAAGAUUUUAGACAUCAGAUUUUAUCUAGUUAUGAACUGUGUUAACAAAAAUGUGCAUCCUGCAAGUUACUUCUGGAACUCAUCCUAAGCUUGAAAUUACGUGACACUAUUACCAAGUUUAAUAAGGCAAAAGGUCAAGAAAGAGCAUGCCUGAAUUGCUUGUCAGCACCAAUUAUCCCAAUUUCAAUGUUUUUCCCAGAAAUCUGCCCUUCAAAUCUGCAAACACAAACAAUCUUGUAAGGGUACAAGGGAAGCACUAAGAACUUGUAAGAAACUUUAAAAUGCUCAUUUAUAUCUCUCUUUGACCACUUUGCAAAUACUAAGAUUAUGCUCACUAGUCCACCAUCAUUCUGAUUAUAGAAGCAAGACUCGACAAAUUAACAACUUAAAAUCACUAAGAGGAAAGAAAAGGAACCUUUAAGCACCUGCAAGUACAUUUGAUUGACACUGGGUUGAGAAACUUUCAUUCAUUUUCACUUAAACAGUAUCUCACAUAAUUUAAUCUCCUGAACUACUAACUAAAGUGUUGAGAGCCAAUUUAAGUUCUCAAGGCUGAAGACCCCAACUAGACUACUGUUACCUAGAAUUCAUUUUACCUGCGAUACUCAGUAUGUGUGGCAGAAAAUCGCAAUACCUAAAUGGCUGAAUUUACAAGUAUAUCAAUCAAUUAUGUAAUGAACCGGGUGCAAGUGCAUGGCGCAAGUAUAUUAAACCUACUGAAUUUUUCUUCUACUUUUUAUACACCAAUCCUUGUAAAAAACACCACUGCUCAAAUUCAAAAAUAAAAAGUGGAGGAAAUUUUAAAGUGAUGUACCCCUCUUUUAGUGUCAAGAUAGCGGUGUGUACAGCAUCAUCAAGCUCCAUAUCAUCAGUGUAUCUACAGAGCACAUAUUAAGUUAGGGAAAACAAAAGUUGUUCAAAUCAAAUGAAGAUAUGUGAACAAAAAACCAAAAUAUUUACCAUGUUUAUGUCCAUUCAAUUCUUUUUUUCUCACUUCCUUUUUUCUUUUUCUUUUUCAAAAAAAAGAAAGGCAAUCCAAUUCUUCUUGGAUGGGGAAAAUGAAUUACAAUAAAUUAUAUAAAGAACGAGGGGAGUAGCUCAAAGUAAGCUGGCAGUUGAAAAUUGAAGGUAGCUUGAUCUUUGAAUGAAGAAUAUGUUUGGCAGUUGAUGGCUGGAGGUGGAAACACAUUUGUUGCUAGCUAGGAGAACCCAUGAAGAUGUUUAGAAGUUUUUGCAGAAUCAAUGCAUUUCAUGGUACCAAAAACAAAUAAAUACCUCUUCUCAAGAAAUGUUUUUGCAUUUGAAACAUUUUUCCCCAUUGCUGAGGCUUUCCAUGAGAAGUAGGAUCCUGAUGGAUCGACCUAGCCAAACAAAUACAAAACAUAACAUCAUCAGAAGAACUAUGAUUUGAGUGCAAGAGUCUAACAUAUUUUUAAAAAGGCAACACAAGUGAGUCAUAAUCCAUCCAAAUCACAACCAAGAAAACAAAAGGUCAAAAACUUAUCAACCCUCUGGGCACACAGAAGGGUGCAUGAUAGUCACAAAGGCCUACAGCUUCUAGAAUACUAGGCUACCACAUAGUCUGCAGUGGAUAAUCCAGAUACAAAAAAAAUAGUUAAUGACUUCAGACAUUAACACAGUGACUAGCAAAGACACCUGAUACAGCUGUGGACCUUUGUCAUCAAAACCAGCGACUAGCAAAGAUACUCCAAAAGGCCUUACACCUCUGCGAGGAAAAACAAAGGAUGAGUAUUUUCAAACUUCAAGAAUAAGAGCAUGAAGAGUUGACAUGCUGGUGCAGGAACAUAGGGAGAGAGUUGUUGGCUUCUUAGAAUAAGGGCUAAGGUUAUGAACUUUGGAAAUUAAAAUUCAGAUCUAAAUUACAAAGGAAAUCAACUAAAACCACUGAAACACUUUGAAUGUAUAAAAGAUGUUCCAGUACCCAGAUUGAGUAAACUCUUGCAUGACAGCAGCAGUUUCCCUCACAAGUUGUGUGACAGGAAUUGGUUCCUACAAUCAUAAAAAUUCACAAGUUACAACCUUCACGAUUAACAACAAAAGAUGACAAUGAAUUGAUAUAAAAUAGUAAUUGGAUAUUUAACUCUUGGAUUUCAAGCAAAAUUAAGCUGUUUUGGGGGUCAGAAUGGCAUUGUUGGGAAUAAGACAACUAACAAGAAGUCUUGUAAUAUAGACAACCUCAAUAACUACUUCCCAGAUAUAUUAUCUUAACCAGGUUAUCAAGCAUUAGACGAAUUAUAUACAUGAGUUUGUUUAGAGGCAUCAAAAGGAUACACAUAUCCCAUUCAUAAGAUAAGCCAAGAAAAUUUAGCAACCUUAUCACUAAUCAGUGACAUGAAAAGAAAAGCUGAAGAACAAACAUGAAGCAAAAUAAUAAAGAAAAUCUUGAAGAUGGGUACCUUGUACAGUCUAUGAUAUUGCUCUGCUUGCUUCCUACUUUUCCGAACCAAAACUCGAAAGUCAGGACCCAUUCCACUGCAACAAAAUACAUGUGAUUCAGCACUGUUAAGAAAAAAGUACAGCAAAGCAACCCAUUUUGACAUAGGUAAUAAGUUGCACAAGCUAGUAAGAAGUGGCUCACUGAGCAACCAAAUUGCCAAGAUGUCUUAUUUCAAACCCAAGUACAGAGGAAUGCCUUAUUUAUAUUUUUCUAAGGAACUACAUAUUUGUCCCCCUCUUUUUUUCAGUUGAAACAGAAACAGGGUACAUGUACAACGUGUUAAAGUCAAGUCCAUAACCAGACCAAUUAAGAACAUUGACCUACAAGGAGUUCCACUGAAGUUCAGAUUAUAAGCAGGCAUGCUUCUAUCUCAAUUUACCACCCCGGGUCAAAUUUCACACUUAUCAGGACACUAUAACAACAGCAGAAACUAUACAAUUUCCCACCAAACAUAAAGAGAGCUUUGAAUCUACACACCCGCCUGCUACAAUCAUUCAUGACAGAUAUUUUAGCAAAAGUUAAGGCCAGAGAAACACAAGCUAAAAAAAUGGAACUUCCUAAUUAAUGAGAAGCAGGCAGAAACAAACCUGUAGACAACUCCAAUAUUGGGUGUCAGAUUCUGUAUUUUCUGAACCUGAAACAAGAAGCAAUUAAUACCAUCAACAACCAACUCAAGUUACAUACCAUCUUGCAAAUUAGAAUAAUAGACCAAUCAAUUGGCUCCAAAAUCAAACCAUCUCCACCUCAUUCAACACGAUUUAAAAUAACCAACACUGCCUUUUUAUACAAUGUGGGAUUAAAGAGGAUAUAAAUCUACACACUCCAACAUUCAAAGUCCUAAUCUUAGAGUCAUUGACUAGUAUAACUAAGCUCAAAUUACUAAUAAAAAUUACAAAUUUACACCGAAUUUGAACAGAUUUCUACCAACCGAUGUCACUAAAGAAAACACAAAAAAAAAACGCAAAAAAACAAAAGGGCUUCUUGAAUUUAAACCAAAGAAUAUAACAAAACCAAUAAAAAAAAUAAUAAAUGUUUACUUACAGAAGAUUCAUCGACUAAAAUAGAUGGCAAUUUCUUCUCAGUUGCAAUAACAACACCGUUUGCCGCUACAACACCAAAAAAAUAAUAAAAUCAACAACAUAGUAUCUAAGCACCCAUCAACAACAUAGUGCAUUCAAAAAUGACAAGAAAAUGAGAAAACAAAGAGAGAGAGAGGGAGCUUAAAUUGCAACAACCUUUGAUUCCGAGGGAAGUUUGGCCUGAUCCAACGGCAGUCAAUGCGUGCUCAAUCUGUACUAGCUUUCCGGUAGGACUGAAAGUAGUGAGAGAAAAGGAGUACUGGCUAUCACCCAUGGUUUAUUGCUUGAAGACGCAGACAGGAAAAACUGAGAAUGCGAGCGUGUGGGAGAGAAAGACAGGGAUAUUUACUCGGGGUUUUAACUUUGCUUUCUCGUUGGAGAAGAAGGUGUUUCUUACCAGGGCUUUUACAAUGGAGUAUUUUGUGCUUUUACGACGGCAGGUUGGUCCUCUUUACAUUGAGCUCAAUGAAGGCUCGGAACCAGUUUUGUUUUUAAGUAUUAUUAACAAAUUUUUAUUUAUUUAUUAAUAUAAAUAAUUUUUAAUUUAUUUAAUUACAUUUAUAUAUAAAAUUUUUAAUUUACUAUAUUUUUUGAACUAGAAAAAUAUAUUUAAAGAACUGCAUAUAUAAAUUUUUAUAAAAAAUAAAAAUAUUUGACUCACAAUAAAUCAUCGAUAUUUUUAUAAAAAAAUAAAAAUGGGUAAACUCUUAAUUAUUGUUGAAGAUUUUUUUUGUUAGGUUUGGAUAACUUAUAGAUGAAUGGUUUAGCUUCUCUCAUUUAUUUGGAUUUAAUCCACUGAAACUGAGGUUUAAGAAUUUCUUGGAUUUAAUCCACUGAAACAGUUGCUUAAUCAAGAUCAUUGGUUUGUUUGAAGACAGAUAAAGGCAUAAAAAAAAAAAAAAAAAAAAAGCGAGAGCGAGCAAAUGGUAAGUAGCUGAAACAUAUGAUUUACAUAUCAUUUUGAGAAAAUCUAAAAGAAAAUGUCAUCUUAGAUUAAUUAUAGAUAUGAGUUACAUUUGGAGAAUUUAAGUAAGGAAUAAGCUUCACGUGAGCGAGAAAAUAUGACAGCUGCAUUUGAUAGAGUAAAUGGAAAGUAGGAAAUAAAAUCGAAUUACAGUAAAGAGGUCACACAGAGUAAAUAGUAAGGCUUACAUAUUAUUUACACUCAAUCUUAGCAAACACCAAAGCAAAUAAUUAAUACACUCAGAACCAAAUCUUUUACCGUUAAGAAUUAACACUGGUAGAAGAAUUUACCUCUUCCUGCGGGUUCUAAAGACUAAAGAAUUUACCCAAAAUAAAUAUCAUCAAAAUUAAUCUUUGGGAUGUGAGAAAUCUUUUGCCAAUCUUCACCCAUCUCCUCCUUCCCGUAACGUUUCCUUAGAUUGGGGCAAUCACCUAUGUGUAAUUCCUGUAGAAGACACCGGAAAAGACCUUUUGCUAACUUGGGGCAAUCACCUUUUGCUAUGUGUAAUUCCUGUAGAAGACACCGGAAAAGACCUUUCCGAAGGGUCUCUAGUGUGGAUCAAGAGGCUGCGAAGACCUUUUGCUUUGUGAAUGGACACCGGAAAAGAGGUCUCCUUUGACAGCAUCAUGCUUAAAUGACGAACCCUUUCAAUUGAAGUCUCCACUAUUGUUUCUCCAAGUGUAUUGACAUCCACUGUUAGACAUUCAUUUUUUGUCAUGUAUUGGGCAAAAUCAUGCACUAUAUCAUGCAUCUUGAAUUUCAUUCCCUCAUCGUAAUCCGUCUCAAAAUCUUGGAAGAAAGAGCGCGCUGCUAAGACUUGAAAGUACUGCUCUCCUACAAGCUCCAUAUCUCCACCUGAAGUCUCCUUGAGGUAACCUUGAGCCAUCCACAUCUUCACCAAUUCAUAUUUUCCCAUCUCGUAGUCUUUUGGAAACAUGGCACAAUACAAGAAACAUCGUCUUACCACAGAAGGUAAAUCAUAGUAACUCAAAAGCAAAGGUAUAAAUAUUUGUCUUUCAACCUGAUCUCUAUCAACCUCAUCUAGCCUCCACAAUUCGCUAGAUAAAACACGCUCCCACUCUUCUCUUGUUAUUUUAGACUGCAUUAGACCUCCUAAUACCUUGGCAGCUAGAGGCAAGCCCUUGCACUUGUUUGCAAUUUUAUCGCCGAUAUCUGUCAAUCUUUCGCGCUCAUCUUUGCUUCUUUCCUGGAAUGCCACAUGAUUGAAUAUUGACCUGCAUAUCUUAUCAGACAAUUUCUCAAUGUUGAUCCGGUGGUCAGUUCCCAUCAUCGUUGCCACAGCGUCCUUACGAGUGGUCACUAGAAUUCUGCUUCCAGGUGCACCGCCUUUGAGAGAUAGUUUCAGUGGUUCCCACUGUCCAUGAUUUUCUGUCCAGACAUCAUCUAGGACAAGAAGGAACCUCUUUCCCUUAAUGGAUUCAGAAACCCUUUGCAUAAGGGAUUGCAAUUCAACCAAAUCGGGUGCCCUCCCUUCAAGCUGCUCAAGGAUACCUUUGGCUAUUCUAACCUCAUCAAAUGGUUCUGAAACACACACCCAUAUCUUUUUCUCAAAAUGAGCCGUAACCUCAGCAUCAUUAAAAGCUAGUUGUGAAAAGAAUGAUAUCUUUUGUAUUAUGUUACAGAGUAAACAAAGGUUACAAUUUAUACUAAUGGCUUGAUACAAAGAGCCUACAUUAAAGCCUACGAUCAGACCUAAUUAUCACAGAAUAAGGAAACAAAUAAGUGAAGAUUCAAUUACAGUAUUUGACAGACUUGAUUUCCUAUUCUGUGAUUGAUUUCCUAUGCUGUGCUUGGUUUCCUUUAACACUCCUCCUCAAGUUGGAGUGUAUGUUAAUUACACCCAACUUGCUAAGUAAGGUCUCAAACUGUGUGGAGCUUAAUGGUUUAGUAAACAAGUCAGCCGGUUGGUUUGUAGUCCGUAUGUAGGUUGUUUGAAUCAUUCCUGCUUGAAUUUUCUCACGUAUCAAAUGACAGUCUAUUUCUAUGUGCUUGGUUCGCUCAUGAAAGACUGGAUUCGAUGCUAUGUGCAUUGCUGCUUGGUUAUCACAAAAUUAAGGUUACCGGUUGUGUGUGAUUUAUCUGCAAGUCCUUCAAAAUAUUUUUCAGCCAUGUAAUUUCGCAGCAUGUAGUAGCCAUGGAGCGAUAUUCUGCCUCUGCACUUGAACGUGAUAUUGUUGUCUGUUUCUUACUCCUCCAUGAAACUGGUGCUUCUCCAAGUAAAAUGCAGUAACCAGUAACUGAUCUUCUUGUGUCCUUACAACGAGCCCAAUCAGCAUCAUAAAAUGCUCGUAACUGAAGUGAACCUGUGGACGGCAAAAAGAUGCCUUGCCCAGGUGUUUGUUUGAUAUAUUUGAGCACUUUAUAAGCUGCAUCCAGGUGUGGUUGGCGGGGCUUAUCCAUGAACUGACUAAGGAUGUGCACAGCAUAAGUCAAGUCUGGUCUAGUUAUUGUAAGAUAGAGUAACCUGCCAACUAACCUCCUGUAUGUUGAUCCAUCUUCCAAAAGCUUUCCAUCGGAUUGUGUUAGAGACACAUUUUGCUCCAAAGGAAACCGAGAUGGCUUGACACCCAAAAACCCUGCAUCAUCCAAAAUCUCGAGUGCAUAUUUUCUCUGUGACAAACUAAUGCCAUGUCGUGAUUUGGCAACCUCGAUGCCAAGGAAGUAUUUAAGUUGCCCCAAGUCCUUAAGUUUGAAUUGUUUGGACAAGAAGAGUUUGGUGUUCUCUAUGUCCUGCAAAUUAUUCCCAGCUAAUAUCACAUCAUCAACAUAUAUCAGUAAUGCUAGAAAGUUACCAUGCUGGCUUCGGACGAACAAGGAAUAAUCAGAUAGGGACUGAUGGAAUCCUGCAGCCUUGAGUGCACCGGACAGUUUGAUAAACCACUGUCUAGAGGCUUGUUUUAAGCCAUACAGGGAUUUAUGAAGUUUGCAAACGCGUGUCUCCCCCUUUCAUCCGAAGCCAGGAGGCAAAGUCAUGUAGACGUCCUCAUCCAAGUCACCAUGCAAGAAUGCAUUGUUGACAUCAAGCUGAUGUAAAUGCCAACCACGCAAAGCUGCCACACUAAGUAAGAGGCGGACAUUGACCAUCUUGGCUACGGGAGCAAAGGUUUCCUGAUAAUCAACACCUGCAACUUGGCUGUAGCCCUUGGCCACCAGUCGUGCCUUAUAGCGUUCCACUGUCCCAUCAGCUUUCAACUUGAUUUUGUAUACCCAUUUGCAGCCGAUCGGCCGUUUGUGGGAUGGUAAAGGUACCAAACUCCAAGUCUCAGUGGCCUGUAAAGCAGAUAUCUCAUGGUGCAUGGCCUCACGCCACUGAGGAUGUUGAACAGCCUGUGAAAAACUGGUAGGUUCUUUGAGGAGAGUGAGUUGAGCAGUAUAAGCUUUGUGAUGAGGAGAAAGGUGAGUGUAAGAUAAAUAGGCAGAGAGGGGAUAAGCAGUACCUGAAGUGUGAACCAUGUUCGUGGAUGAUGUCGGGUCAGGCCUUGAAGGGAGAGUCAUGGCGAGAUGGAAAUCCUGCAAGUAAGAAGGAGUGGUGAUAGAACGACUGCCACGACGAAGAGUAGGAAUGGGCACAGGUGAGGAGGUGUUCAGUAUGGGAGAAAAAUCGGGUAGUGGACUAUCAGUAGGACUGGCUGAAUGUGGGGACUCUGUGAGAGGAGCUAGAGGAGUGGAUGAGGUGGUGGAUGGAUGGGUCUGGGAAUUGGGUGAGCUAGGAAAGGUAGGAUUGGGAAGCAGAGAAGGGGGUUCAAAGUGUAUGUCGAAAGGUAUGGAUGGAGUGGGAGUGGGCGUGGGAGGUGAUAAUGAUGGGAUAUUGGUAUGUGAUGCAGAUGUAAUAAAGGGAAAUGUAGAUUCAAAGAAGACGACAUCCCUAGAGACAAGUGUUCGUUGUGUAGCUAGAUCAAAAACUCUAUACCCCUUUUUCCCAUAAGGAUAGCCAAGAAAAAUACACUGAGAUGCUCGAGGAUCAAAUUUUGAGCGAUUUUGGGCAUGGGUGGAAACAAAAAAUAAGCAACCAAAUACUCGUAAGUGUGAGUAAUUGGGAACUUUGUUGAAGAGUUUUUCAUAUGGUGUUUUUCCAUGGAGAAUGGGGGUUGGUGUUCGAUUUAUGAGAUAAGCGGAAGCAAGAAUAGCGUCACCCCAAAAUUGGUGAGGAAGGUCGGCUUGAAGAAGUAAAGCACGUGCCAUAUUUAACAAAUGCCUAUGUUUGCGUUCGGCAACGCCAUUUUGUUGUGGAGUAUUAAUGCAACUGGUUUGAUGAAUAAUACCUUUGUGAGCGUAAAAGCUGUCAAGUUUGAAUUCAAGACCAUUAUCACUACGAAUCAUUUUGACUUUGGAAUCAAAUUGGUUUUCAGCCAUGUUGAUGAAAUUGACUAGAAGACCCCUAGUGUCAGAUUUGUGUUUCAUAAGAUAAAUCCAUGUGCAUCUAGUAUGAUCAUCAACGAUAGUAAGAAAAUAUUUGGCACCUGAAAUAGAAGGAAUUUUAUAACCACCCCAAAUGUCAACAUGGAUUAAAUCAAAUGAAGAUAUGGUAGUAAUGGAACUUGAAGAAAAUGGAAGUCUGGUUUGUUUUGCUAACGGACAAAUACAACACUUGUCGUUAGAGCAAGAAUUAACUUUAGGAAAUAAUGGAGAGACUUUGGUUGAGGGAUGCCCAAGACGUUGAUGCCAAAGGUUCGGGUUAGAAUUUUUGGCAUGGUUGCAGGUUCCUUUCUUGGCUUGGUCGAGAAAGUAGAGACCCUCCCGUUCAAUUCCCGUCCCAAUCAUCUUCCCCGAACGUAGGUCCUGAAUCACACAAAAUUGGCUUAGAAAAAUGGUGAUGCAAGAAGAAUCAAAUGCUAGUUUGCUAAUGGAAAUUAAAUUCAAUCGGAAAUAUAGGACACAUAAGACAUUAUCAAGGAUCAAAUCAGGAGAUAGAUGAACUCUGCCUAUGUGAGUUACUUGUGCUAUUGAUCCAUUCGGUAAUUCAACAGUGCGGCCAUUAACCGGUCUUGAGUAUGUGAGCAGAUUUUGGUCAUAAAUCAUAUGAUCUGUGCACCCACUAUCCAAAAUCCAUGUACUUCUGUUGCCAUUAGAGAAGAGUGAAAAAGCUUUACCUGAGAGCUCAUCAUGAGUUGGACAGUUACUAACAUGGUUGGCAGAGGAUGUUUUGGUUUUUAACAUGCUGAGUAUCUGUUUGCACUCGUCAGGUGUGAAAGGAAAAUUCAUCUCCUUCCUCUCAUUCGUAUGGGAUGCAACUUGAUUUCCCUUGGAAAUCGCCAUAUUAAAUUCAGCUUCAGUUACUGCUUUCUUCUUGCGACAAUACUCGGCUGUAUGUCCCUUCCAGCGGCAGAAAGUGCAUCUGAGAUGUGCACGACAAUCCUUGGUGUUGUGAUUUGUUCUAUUGCAUCUUGAGCAUCUCUGUUCAGUUUCAGUCUCAUGGCUUAAAUUCUUUACGGCAAAGGCAUCAGCCUCUGGUUGAGCAGGACUUUUCCCAGUUGUCACUUCUGAUUGUUUUUCAUGACGAAGAACCAGUGAGUAUGCCUUGUUGAUUGUUGGUAAUGGAUCCUGCAACAGAGUGUUGCUACGAACACCCACAUAUGAAUCACUAAGACCCAUGAGAAAUUUCAUGGUUUUCUGUGUGUCCAGGUAUGCAGCCACUUCCUUGACUGAUCCACAAGUGCAUGUUGGAAAGGUGCAUAGUGCAUCACGCUCAUCCCAUAAACCUUUCAGUUUUGUGAAGUAGGAUCCCACAGACAUGCUGCCCUGCACACAGUUGUGAAUUUCAUUCUCAAUGUUAAAUAACUGAACCACAUUCACAUGUGAGAAUCUUUCCUUUAAAUCAAGCCACAUUUGUCUGGCAUCCUUGCAGUUGAUGACGCUAGCUGCAAUAUCUUUGGACAUAGAUCCCAGCAGCCAAGUUUUAACCAAACUGUUGCACCGAUUCCAUUGUUGAUGCUCAUCUGGUUUCUUCUCAUCAGGCUCCUUCAUUGAGCCAUCUAUAAAUCCAAUCUUGUUUUUAACUGUCAGAGCCAUAGUCAUGGAUUGGCUCCAUGUGCUGUAGUUGUCUUCAACCAAAGGUUGUGGCACAAGAACAGCGCCAGGUUGAUCUGAAUGGUGAAGGUAAAGCUGGUGAUUGGGAUGAUCCCAUCUUGCUCCUGAAGACAUGCUUCCUUGGUUUUCGUUUCCCAUGGAAGUUGGCUAAAGGGUUUAUGUUUUAUUUUGAUACCUAGAUUAAUUGCUCUGAUACCAUGAAAAGAAUGAUAUCUUUUGUAUUAUGUUACAGAGUAAACAAAGGUUACAAUUUAUACUAAUGGCUUGAUACAAAGAGCCUACAUUAAAGCCUACGAUCAGACCUAAUUAUCACAGAAUAAGGAAACAAAUAAGUGAAGAUUCAAUUACAGUAUUUGACAGACUUGAUUUCCUAUUCUGUGAUUGAUUUCCUAUGCUGUGCUUGGUUUCCUUUAACAAGUUGGGCGAGAGUUGUUUUUCCAAUUCCGCCCAGCCCUACUACAGAGAUGACAUCCACGUCCCGUGCUUCUUGACUACUUUCAGCCAGCAACUUGCUUACAACAUUUCUCUUUUCACCAUCUCGACCAAUCACACUUGAUUCAUCAACAAAGGAGGUAGUUGUUAGCCGCUGGAGUUCAUCAGUGGCUUUGUACAGAUCAAAGCCAUACUUAGCUCUCUCUUUGGCAAUGUCAUCCACUUUUUCACUAACUUCUUUGAUCUUCCGGGCAAUGUCGCGACGUCGAACCACUUGAUUGAAACAAAAGCAAGGAGAUCCCAGGAAGGAACACCGUAUCUUCUGUCGGCUGUGAGUAUUUUCAGCUUCCUCCAUUUUCCAUCGAAGAAUUGCAGUGCUCCAUUCAUCUAGCACGUCAUCCAUAUCAUAACAUGCAUCUUUGAGCUUGUCUAGCCAAUCUCUUACAGCCUUAUCCCUCACUUGUUUUCUAUCUGCAUCUUCAAGGACAGAUUGGAUAUCAAGGAGAUUGCUUUUCAGCUUGUCACAUUGUUUCUUCACAUCCACUACUAGGUUCACCUCUUCUUGUACCUAUUAGUGUACAGAUGAAAAGAAACGUUAAGCAUAGGAAACAUUUCUAUGAUUUCAAUACAAAUUCUUAAUUUUUAGCAAUUAAUAGAUUAAAUCAUUUUUAUUAAACUUUUUCACAGUAGCAAUUAAUAUAUUUAUAUUGUUAAUUAUAUUCAAAUUAUAUAUAAUAACUCUCUAAAAUAAAAUGACUCGUAAAUAAUGUAAUGCUAAGCCACUAUUAUUGCACUAAAAUUUACUAGAUGCGUGAAUUAAAAUAUAUUUUAUUUGAAUAAAGGAUUUCUUUAGAUAAAAAGAUAGAAUUCAUAGAUAUUAUAAUUGUGGAGCGCAAUAUAUACAUUGCAAUUUCACAAUAUUUUUAGGUGACUUUUAAUAAUUAUCAUAGUCUAUUUUUUAAAAUAUUCUGUGAGGUUGAUCAAAAUAAAAAAGAAAUAUUAAUUAGAAUUUCUAUAAUCAUGUUUGUAAUCGAAUAUUUGACUAUAUUUAUUUUAAUCAUUUUAUCAUACUAAUUUUAUUUCAAAUAUAGUUAUUUAUGCAUUCAAAUAUGAUAAGGAAUUAUUAAAAAAGGAAUUUACUACUAUUUUACUAUAUUGAUUUGUUCUAACCAGCCAUCACAAUAACCAUAUUUUGUAUAGCACAAAAGAUAUAAAUAAAAAGAAAGAGAAUCGUAAGAACCCGCUAUCUUGUAAAAAUAAUAUACAUACAUACAUACAUACAUAUAUAUAUAUAUAUAUAUAUAUAUAUAUAUAUAUAUUAACUAAUUUAUUUGAUCACAUGCAAUGUGAUAAUAUAUAAAUCAAGCUACUGAUUUAGCUUCUGACAAAUUAACAGAUAUUCUAUAAGAUAAUGAAAUCAAUGUAUAAUGAACUAUAAAUGUUAGGUUAAUUGCAAAAUUGUAGAAAAGUAAUUAAGUACCUGUUGAUUAUAAAAAAAAGAAAAAAAAAAAAGAAACAAACAAAAAAGAGUACCUGUCGAGCAACGAUCGUGGUUAACUGCUCCAAAAUUGGGGAUACAAGUGCGUCAGCCAUUGUUGUUCUUACUACUGAAUGUGUCAAGAAAAAGGAGAGAAAGUAAUGGGGCGUUGUUGACUGAUGAAAUGAGAAGUUGAUGAAGAUAGGAAGGAUAGUGAUCUACUCUGUGGAGUGCCAGAGAAAAUUAAUUUGAGGUUAUUCUCCAUGAAGUUUAGGCAAUAUAUACUGCAAAUUAAGAUCAUUUGCUUAAGACUGGGGUUAGAGUAUGAUUCUGAACUUCAGUAUAAAGCAACUAAUUUCCUUCAAGGUUGAUGCAAGCAAAGAAUGUUACUGAAACAAUGAGAAAAUAUGUGUAACAAGGAAAAGGAAAAGGCAAAGGCAAAGGCAAGUCUAGAAUUAGCCAUUGCUUCACUUUGGGUUCAAGUAUAAUGCAUCAGUCAUUUUUUUAUUUGCAUGGUUAUGGUUAUAAGAUCACGGUAAUUCUGUAAAAAAUAAAUUAAAAUAAAUUAUUUUAGAAAUAAGUUUCUUGUUGUAAUUAAAUUGCAAAAAAUAGUUAGGAUAAAAUUUAAGAUAAAUCCUAGGGAACACAUUCAAAAUGCACUGUGUACUGGAUUCUCAAUGUUCAUUUUACAGUUUGACAAGAGAAUCUUUCCUUCACUUUCACUUGCACGAUCUUUUUUUUAUCUUCUUUUUUUUUCAAAACUUACAAUCUUUUUUUUUCCCAGAUCUUUUUUCACUGUGUACCCAUUAUUUGUUUGGUUUACGAUGCUUUUUUUUUAAUACCUUAUAAGUGCCAAAAUUACCAACACCAUCAAUAGCAUAAUUUUUUUGCCUUAAUUUUAACUGCAAAACAGCUACCUUACCGCCCCAGCAAACGAGAACGAAAAAGCUCACCAAGAUGCUCUCUUUGAAAAGAUUCUCAAUGAGUCACUGACAUUUACUCUCAUUGUUUAAAAAAGUUAGGGUAAAGUUGAAAGAUAAAAUUAAAAAAAAAAUUAUUGAUUAAAAAAACAUUAUUAUAAUGAAUAGUUCUUUUAUGAUGAGGGGUAUUGUAAAAUCCUCUCCUCUUUUGGUGUCUACUAGUUAUGUGAAUUGUGCUUCACUUCAGGUCAAGUAUUUUUAAUUUUUUAUAAAAAAGGUUGUAUAUGCAGAUUUUUUCAACGUAUUUUUGUACUUUAAAAAAUUUAAGUGUAUAUCAAAAAAUUUAUGCACACAUUUAAUCAAAUAAAUUGAGAAUUAUAUAUGUUAAUAAACAAAUAAAUAAUCAUUAACGACACCUAAAAAUAAAACUUAAAAAAUUGAGAGACAAAUAUAGAUCAAUAUAUUUAAUUUCGCAAAAUAAGAUAUUUACCCGAUCAUGUUUGCUAAAUUUUUUAUUAAAAAAAUUUCUAAUUUAAUCAAAUGAUAAUAAAAUAGAUAAACAUAUUAAAUUGAUUGAAUAAAAUAAAAAGAAAAUAUGAAUAAUAUGCAAGGCUACACAUAUUAGAAAUAUCAUAUAAAAUAAAUAUUUUUUAUUUUCAAAAAUAUAGUUCACCUAUGCAAAAGAUAAAAAAAUUAUAGAUAGAUUAGAAAAAACCUCUUUAAAAAUUAAACAUAUAAUCAAAAAAAUCACCAUUAUUUAGAAGAGGUUAUCUAAACAAAAUAAAAAAGAAAGAAAGGGUGGAUAGUGAUCUACCGUGGAGCGCAAGAGAAAAUUAAUUUGAGGUUAUUAUCAAUGAAGUUUAGGCAAUGGCGCAAAUUAAGGUCAAAUUGGAUGUUUUGCACUUUGGAUAAUGAUAUUAAUUUUUGGUGUUUGGUGAUAGAUUUCUUGUUGUGAAAUAGUUAUGGUAAAAUUUAAGAUAAAUCCUAGUGAACACGUCUUGUUGUGAAAUAGUUAUGAUAGACUCUCAAUGUUCAUUUUAGAGUUCCACAAGAGAAUCUUUCCGUCACUUUCACUUACUGCAAAACAGAGCUAUCAAUUUAAAAAUAUAUAAUUGCUCAAAUCAAGAAAUCAAUCUCAAUAAAUAAUAAUGUUUUAUGGCAACAACAGAUAAUAAAUAUUAUAUAAAUUACUAAGAAGUACUAUCAAUUUAAUAUUAAUAAUUUGAAUAUUUAUACUACUCCUCUGCAGCAUAUGAGAUAGUAAGUGAUAGAAUGGUCCCACUCCCCAUGUUAUGGUUUAUAUUUUGCUUUAAACAGAGUAUAGUUGUACUAAAAAUACACCCCUUUCCCGAAAGGAAGGGGAAGAACACAAUCAAGGGAUUUCUUGUUGUUUGACUUCUCAUGUUUCUCUCCCACCACGGGCAACUGUUUAUUUUCGCCAAGGUGAAUUGAGGCUUCAAGUAGAAGAAAUUAUUUACUGGUUAGAAACUUGGUCGAUUUCACUGUUGUCUUUGAGACAAAUGAAACUGAGGUUUUUGGUUUGCAAUUUGGGCAGAUAAGGAUAAUCCUUAUUGUUUGGUGUUUGAGAAUUUAAUUGGUGCUAAAUUUCUUGUUGUAAAUUGCAGAAAAUAGUCAGGGUAAAAAUUUAAGAUGAAUGCUAGGGAACACAUCUUCCCAAAAUGCACUGGGUUCUGGAUUCUCAAUGAAUGUUCAUCUUACAGUUUGACAAGAGAAUCUUUCCUUCGCUUGCACUAUCUUUUUGUUUGUUUGCCCGAUGCAUGAUUUUUUUACCAAAUAAGGAUAAUCCUCAUUUUUCCUUGAUAAAUUCUAACUACAAAACAGCUACUUCACCAACAAGAUGGAAAAGGCUCGCCAAGAUGUUCUCUUUGAAAAGAUUCUCAGUGAGUCGUUGACAUCUCAUUUUUGGAAUUUCUCCAAUAGCUUGAUGUCUACUCUCACUAUAUUGAGUAGGAUGACUGUAUAGAAUUACUCUGAUUUAUCAACACAUAUCAAAUUCUUGCUGCUGCUGAGGAAGAUAUCUGCACUUAGCCAUCAUAGAGGGUAGCGAAUUUUGUGUUGAUGGAAAUUACACUGACUCAUUGUGUACCAUCUAGAAUUCAAUUUUAAAAAAUAUUGCAAGAAAUGAUGUUUUUUCCUAAAUACAUCAUUCGGGUGUGGAUAGCUUGAUUAAAAUGCGACUCACUAAAAAGUCUUGGUCUUAAUAUGCAAAGAUGAUCCUAGUAUACCAUAUUUCUUUUAAAAUAAAACCCACAGAUCUAGUCCACGCAAAGGUACUGGAAUAUGGAUUUGUAAAAAAUAAAAAUGAAAAUUUAUACGAAAUUGAAUUGUGCUAAAAAAACCCACAGAUCUAGUCCAUGAUCUACGGCUCCUCCAGAGUUCCGUAGUGGUGUCUUUCUCAACUAUUCUUUAAAUAAAAUGUUUGGGAUGUGAGAAAUCUUGUGCCUAUCUUCACCCCUCCCCUCCUUCCCGUAACGUUUCCUUAGAGAAUUUAUGUAGAGGCGCUGUCAAAACAUAGGCCGGUAGUGCUCUCAACAAUGGGCAUUUGAGAAUUCUAAACUCAACAAGUUGUGGCAUGAUGAAUAUUGAAGUCAUGGUGGAAUCUUCUUCUCCCACUCUCCUUUCAAUCCCAUCCCACUCCUCUAGUUCUUUGAGAUGCCAUAUGCUAAGUUUUUUCAAUUUGGGGAAAGCAGGGACUCUUGCAAUUUCUCCUUCAUUAAUAUUGGUAUUGCCAACAUUUUCUUUGCCUAAAAAUCCACCAUCCAACCUUCUCAGCUUCAUGCUCAUCCAUCUGAAAAUCUUGGAAGAAACAACGUGCUACUAAGACUUGAAAAUACUCCUCUCCAACAAGCUCCAUACCUCUACUUGGAGUCUCCUUAAGAUAACCUUGAGCCAUCCACAUCUUCACCAACUGGUCUUUUUCCAUCUCGUAGUCUUUUGGAAACACCGUCUUGCCACAGAAGGUAAAUCGUAGUAACUCAAAAGCUGAGGUGGAAAUAGUGCUAUUUCAACAUGUUCUAACUCCCACAGUUCGCUAGAUAAAACAUGUUCCCACUCUUCUCUUGUUCUUUUACACUGCACUAGACCUCCUAAUACCUUGGCAGCUGGAGACAAGCCCUUGCACUUGCUUGCAAUUUUGCCGCCUAUUUCUGUCAAUCUUUCGCGCUCAUCUUUGAGUUUUUUUUAUUGGAAUGCCACCUGAUUGAAUAUUGACAUCCAUACCUCAUCAGAUACUCUCUCAAGGUUGAUCCAGUGGUCCGUUCCCAUCAUUGUUGCUAUAGCAUGUUUACGAGUGGUCACUAGAAUUCUGCUUCCAGGUGCACCGCCUUUGAGAGAUAGUUUCAGUGGUUCCCAUUGUCCAUGACUUUCUGUCCAUACAUCAUCAAGGACAAGAAGGAACUUCUUUCCCUUCAUUGAUUCAGAAACACUUUGCAAAAGGGAUUCCAAUUAAACUAAACACUUUCCCUCAAGGAUAGCUUUUGCUAUUCUAACCUUAUCAAAUGGAUCUGAUACACACACCCAUAUCUUUUUCUCAAAAUGAGCCGUAACCUCAGCAUCAUCAAAAGCUAGUUGGGCGAGAGUUGUCUUUCCAAUCCCGCCCAUCCCUACUAUAGAGAUGACCUCCACGUCCCCUGCUUCCUGAAUACUUUCGCCCAGCAACUUGCUUACUAAAGCUUCCCUUUCCUCAUCUCGACCACUCACGAUUGAUUCAUCAACAAGGGAGGUACUUGUUAUUCGUUAGAGUUCAUCAGUGGCUCUGUACAGCUCAAAGCCAAACAUUGCUCUCUCUUUGGCAAUCUCAUCCACUUUCUCACAUACUUCUUUGAUCUUGAGGGCAAUGUCGCGACGUCGAGCCACUUGAGUGAGACAAAAGCAAGGAGAUCCCAGGAAGGAACAUCGUAUCUGCUGUAGGCUGUGAUUAUUUUCUUCAGCAUCCCUCAUUUUUCAUGUAAGAAUUGCAGAGCUCCAUUCAUCUAGCACAUCAUCGAUAUCAUAGCAUACAUCUUUGAGCUUGUCUAGCCAAUCUCUUGCAACCUUAUCCUUCACUUGCUUUCUAUCUGCAUCUUCAAGGACAGAUUGGAUAGCAAGGAGAUUGCUUUUCAGCUUGUCGACUUGUUUCUGCACACCCCCUACUAGGUUCACCUCUUCCUGUACCUAUUGGUGUAGAAAAGAUAAGAAAGUUGAAGCAGAGGAAACAUUUCUAUGAUUUCUUUACAAGUUUUUAAUUUUAAUUUUUGGUAAUGAAUAGAUUAGCAGUAGUUGACACGUACUGCGAAAUGGAUUGGCUAUAUUAAUAAUUUAUACAUAAAAUAUUUAUUAAAAACCUAUAUAUUAAAAAUAAUAAUAUUUCUUUUUUGUUAUCAUCAUGAUGAUACCUGUCUGCACUCUUCCACUACAAAGAAAUAUAUAAAAGGAAUAAAAGGAAAGUGAAUAAAAGGAUCUGUAUUUGUUGGUAUUUGUAAAGUCCAUUGACAACUCAUUCUUUUUCCUUCUAAAGAUGUUUGAUUUGAGUAUUUGAGAUUUUAUUUUGUUUUUCUUAAAGGGAAGAAAAAAAGACUUCAUUUUUAUGUUUCUUAUUCAUGGUAGGUUAAUUAGGUCAUUGCAAAUUGUAUAAAAGCAAGUACCUGUUGAGCAACGAUCCUCGUUAACUGCUCCAAAAUUGGUGAUAAAAGUGCCUCUGCCAUUUGCCUGUUUAGUUUAAUUUUAUUUUAUUUUUAAAAAAGAGACAAUGAUGAGAGGAUGAACUGAGAGAGAGAGAGAGAAGAGAGUGUGAGGGGAAGGAGGCUGCUGGUUGUGAAAUGAAGAGAGAGGGUUAGUUUAUGUACUUGGGCCUUGGGGUUUGCUGAUGAGGGUUAAAGUUUUUUUUAGUCCCUGUAUGAUUUUUAACAUUUCAAUUUAGCCCCUAUAUUAUUGGACUUCUCAGUCUAGUCUCGGUCAGGGGUUACAUACUGAAAUGUAUCUGAUAUGGACACUGAUUAUAGCAUUAUACUGAAAUCCUUUCUUCUUCUUCUUCUUCUUUUUUUUUUUUUUUCACUCCUUUAUUAACGUGAUUUAAGGCACUUCUUUCGUUGUCUUUUUCUACUUUUUCAUAAUUUAAGGUACUUCUUUCUUGUUUUAGCUAGAAACAUAAUGCAAGACAAUUAGAAAAACAAAGGAAGAGUGUUUUCAAGAUUCAGGAAUCCGAGAGUGAAGAGCUGACAUGCAGAUGCAGGAACAUAGGAAGAGAGUUGUUUGGUUAUUAAAAUAAGGGCUAAGGUUAUGAAAUCUGGAAAUUGAAAGUCAGAUCUAAAUUACAGAGGAAAUCAGCUAACACCACCGGCGAAGUGAAUUCUUGCAUGACAGCAGCAGUUUCCCUCACAAGUUGUCUGACAGGAAUUGGUUCCUACAACCAUAAAAAUUCACAAGUUAGAACCUUCACGAUUUAACUCUUGGAUUUCACGCUAGAUUCAGCAGCGGUUGGGGUCAGAAUGACAUUGUUGGGAAGAAGACAACUAACAACAAGUCUUGUGAUACAGACAACCUCAAUAAGUACUUUCCAGAUGUAUUAUCUUAACCAGGUCAUCAAGCAUUAGAGGAAUUAUGUACAUGAGUUUGUUUAGAGACAUCAAAAGGAUGCCCAUACACCAUUCAUAAGAUAAGCCAUGGAAAUUUAACAACCUUAUCACUUAUCAGUGAAAUUAAAAGAAGAGCUGAAGAACAAACGUGGAGUUUUAUAUAACUAUAUUAUUUGAUAGUUUUAUCUAUAUUUAUCUAAUAUUUUAAAUAUGUUUUAUAUAUAAAAUAUCUUGAUAUUUUUUGUUUUAUAUCUUGAUAUUUUUUGUUUUAUAUUUUAAAAACACUUUUGAAUAUAAAAUUAAAAAAGAAGUAAAUUGAAGAUAAUUAACAGAUUUGAUCUCCAAUCAAUGAGAUUCAACUCUAGAAGUCGAAACGAAGUGAUUUCAAGGGCAUUAAAAAUCCAACAUCCAUACCUUUCUAUAUAUAUACGGCAAAAAAAAUAAAAAGAGAAAGAGCAUCGAGAUCGCAGCUUUCAAAGACAAAUCUGGCAUUUUAUCAGUGUUGAUCUUUGAUCAUUCUAACUUGAAUAUCUUGAGUUAGAGAAGUUUAUUUGAUGCAAACUCAAUUUUAUUGGAUUCCUGACUCAAAGAUCUAUCAUCAUACCAAAGUUCAGCAUAAAAAGAGCUCAUAUGAGAGAAAUAUAAUUUUUUCUAAGAUGCCACAUGAAUUCUACCAGUAGACAAGUUUUAUGAAGAAAUAAGUACAAAUUAAAUCCCAAAGCAUUCAAACCGACAUCCAAAUCUUUAUUUCGGCAAUUUAACUUCUCAAAGUCAAAAGUCAAAACUUGAAGAAAUUAUGCAAUACAAACACAAUUCUAAACAAAUAUAAUUUCAAAAUUUAAAAUAUUUCUAAGUAGUCAAAAUAGAUUUUUAACUUAAAGUAAUUCAAUUUAAACAAAAUAUCAAAAUAUUUUGAAAGUAAAAUAUUUUAACAAAAAUAUUUUAAAUAUAAAGUUAGGUCAAUGUUAUCAAGGCUAAUGGAAUCUAAAGUAUCCCUUAUUUUGCUCAAAUUCCUACAAAGUAUAAACAUAUAUAUAUAUAUAUAUAUAAACAUGAAUAUAAACCAUAUAUAUUAGUGAUAAAUCCAAUUUUAAAAAAUUAAUAUCAUUGUUAAUAAAAUAGUAAUAAUAAUUUUCAAUAUUAUUAUUAAUAUCAUUGUUAUUGAAAAUAGUAAUGAAAAAAAGCUUUUUAUUAUUAGGCAGUUUAAUUAAUUAAAUUGAACAAGGUUCAAUUUAAUUCAAUGACUUUUUAAGAACGGAACAUAACAUGUGGAAUGAAACCGGAACGUUCCGGGCGGAAUUUAGCUGAAAAAUCCGGAACGGACCGAGAUUUAAAAUGAGAUGAAAUUUGUUCCGUUUUGUUCUGUUUUUUGAAUUGGUAUGAAAUGUUUCGGCCCUGAUGAAACGAAAUGGAAUUGACAAUCUUGCUUCUAGAGAUAUCUUUAAGAGAGAGAGAGAGAGAGAUUACAAGUCAACAAUAAAUGAUUACAAAUGAUUUCAAUCCAAUUACAGUAAAGAGGUAUAUGAAACAUUAGGUGCAUAAACACAACAUUGAAUGAAAUCCUCCACGUAAACACCAAAGCAAACAAUUAAUACACUCAGAAUCAAAACGGAAGCCACUCUGUAGUAGCUCUUUAGUAUCUUCAAAGCCCAAGCUGUCAAACACACACCAAAAGCAUACGUGUCAUCACCAAAACAAUCCAAUGGAUGCCCUUCGAUUUGAUUCCAAAAAUAUUAUAACUUGGAAAAUCUUCAGAUGCACAUGUUAAAUAUAUCAUGUAAUGGUAAACAAGAAUUAGUAAAUAAAAAACAAAGUUAAUUAAUUUGUAUCUUUCUCCUCAUCCACUAACUCUUGCUUCUUUUUUUCCCAUGAAAAAACGGAGAGCCGAAAAUAGAUUUGUUAAAAAUUAAAAUUAUAAUCUCUACGCUAAUAAUUAUAAUAGUAAAAUCUUUUACAGUUAAGAAGUAACACUGGUAGUAGAAUUUACCUGUUAAUUCCUGUCGGUCCUACAGACUUCCGUAGAGGUCUUAACUAUAAAUAGAAAUGUUUGGGAUGCGAGAAAUCUUUUGCCAAUCUUCACCCAUCUCCUCCUUCCCGUAACGUUUCCUUAGAUUGCGGCAACCACUUAUGUCCAAUCCUGUAGAGGCGCUGCCAAAACAUAGUCUGGUAGUGCUCUCAACAACGGGCAAUAUCAAUAUCAACUCUCGAAGUUGUGGCAUAAUGGAUAUUAUUGAAGUUGUGUUGGCAUCUUCUUCUCCCACUCUCCUUCAAUUCCAUCCCACUCUUCUACUUCUUGAGAUCCAAAUAUAAGUUUUUUAAUUUGGGGAAAGCAGUGACCCUUGCAAUUUCUCCUUCAUUAAUACUGGCAUUCUCAUCUUUUUCUAUACCUAAAAAUCCAGCAUCCAGCCUUCUCACCUUCACCCAUCAAUACCAGGCUUUCAAGGUUGGGCAAUCUUCCCAACGGAGGCAAGACCUCCACGUUUUCACAAUCACAGUUAAGCCCUGUAAUCUGGUUAAUGUCAUCAUCCAAUUUGGCAAUCCAACCCUCCGUACUAUAUGGUUAGAUUUCCAAGUCUGACGGAGGCUGUAAAGCUUCAAUUAAAGAGCCUUCAUUCGCUUGCAACUCUGUUAUCUCUCUGUCGAAAAACAAUCCCAAACAACGCAGGCGUUUCUUAUUCUUGAGUUGUGCUUCUGCAGCGUCACUCGCAUCUUCUUUACCGACUCCUAGAUUCUGUAUCUGAAGACUACCUCCAAUGUGAUUUAAGUUUUUUAAUUCUCUCAGAUUAGCUGCUUUACUUCCAUUCUCACCACCACCACACACAGUAAACCGAUCUAAUGUUCGAAGACAUGUUAUCCUCUCUAUUCCCUUUGGUAUGAAGGCCACUUCUGAACCAUAAAUCCGGAGAUGCCUCAAUUUGAUAAGUUUUCCAAUAGCCUUGGGCAAUUCCUUGAGAGACCGACACCAAGUAACAUCUAGGGAUUGCAGAUUGCAUAAAUCACACAUGGUUUCUGGCAGGGAUUCCAACUGAAAACAAGAUGCCAGAUUGAGGUGUCUCAAAUGUAUCAAUUUCCCUACCUCGUUUGGUAUUUCUUUGAUUGAAGACCCUGACAAAUUCAAUGACCUGAUGCAUGUCAACUGCUUGAACAAAUCAGGCAGUGCAGCUCCAAGCGAAGGGUCUCUAGUGUCGAACAAUAGGCUGCGAAGACCUUUUGCUUUGUGAAUGGACACGGGAAAAGAGGUCUCCUCUGACAGCAUCAUGCUUAAAUGACGAACCCUUUCAAUUGAAGUCUCCACUGUUGCUUCUCCAAGUGUAUUGACAUCCACUGUUAGACAUUCAUUUUUUGUCAUAUAUUGGGCAAAAUCAUGCACUAUAUCAUGCAUCUUGAAUCUAAUAUGUUCUCGAUCAUACGUCUUAAAAUCUUGGAAGAAAGAGCGCGCUGCCAAGACUUGAAAGUAAUCCUCCCCAACAAGCUCCAUGUCUCUACUUGUAGUCUCCUUAAGGUAACCUUGAGCCAUCCACAUCUUCACCAAUUCAUCUUUUCAUCGUAGUCUUUUGGAAACAUGGCACAAUACAAGAAACAUCGUCUUACCACAGAAGGUAAAUCGUAGUAACUCAAAAGCAAAGGUAAAAUAGUCCCUCUUUCAACAUGUUCUAGCUCCCACAUUCGCUAGAUAAAACACGUUCCCACUCUUCUCUUGUUCUUUUAGACUGCAUUAGACCUCCUAAUACCUUGGCAGCUAGAGGCAAGCCCUUGCACUUGCUUGCAAUUUUAUCGCCGAUAUCUGUCAAUCUUUCGCGCUCAUCUUGCUUCUUUCCUGGAAUGCCACUGAUUGAAUAUUGACCUGCAUACCUCAUCAGACAAUUUCUCAAUGUUGAUCCGGUGGUCAGUUCCCAUCAUCGUUGCCACAGAAUGUUUACGAGUGGUCACUAGAAUUCUGCUUCCUCGUGCACAGCCUGUGAGAGAUGGUUUCAGUUGUUCCCAUUGUCCAUGAUUUUCUGUCCAGACAUCAUCAAGGACAAGAAGGAACCUCUUUCCCUUAAUGGAUUCAGAAACCCUUGCAAAAGGGAUUGCAAUUCAACCAAAUCGGCCCUCCCUUCAAGCUGCUCAAGGAUAGCUUUGGCUAUUCUAACCUCAUCAAAUGGUUCUGAAACACACACCCAUAUCUUUUUCUCAAAAUGAGCCGUAACCUCAGCAUCAUUAAAAGCUAGUUGGGCGAGAGUUGUUUUUCCAAUUCCGCCCAGCCCUACUAGAGAGAUGACAUCCACGUCCCGUGCUUCCUGACUACUUUCGCCAGCAACUUGCUUACAGCUUCCUUUUCACAUCUCGACCAUCACGCUUGAUUCAUCAACAAAGGAGGUACUUGUUAUUCGUUGGAGUUCAUCAGUGGCUUGUACAGAUCAAAGCCAUACAUAGCUCUCUCUUUGGCAAUCUCCACUUUUUCACAUACUUCUUUGAUCUUGAGGGCAAUGUCUCGACGUCGAACCACUUGAUUGAAACAAAAGCAAGGAGAUCUCAGGAAGGAACACCGUAUCUUCUGUCGGCUGUGAGUAUUUUCUUCAGAAUCCCCCAUUUUCCAUGUAAGAAUUGCAGAGCUCCAUUCAUCUAGCACGUCAUCCAUAUCAUAGCAUACAUCUUUGAGCUUGUCUACCCAAUCCCUUACAGCCUUAUCCUUCACUUGUUUUCUAUCUGCAUUUUCUCUAAAAUAAAAUGACUCGUAAAUAAUGUAAUGCUAAUGCCACUAUUAUUGUACUUAAAUUUACUAGAUGAGUGAAUUAAAAUAUAUUUUAUUUGAAUAUAGGAUUUCUUUAGAUAAAAGAAUUCAUAGAUAUUAUAAUAAUCAUAUAAUUAUGUAGCGCAAUACAUUGCAAUUUCACAAUAUUAUUAUGUGACUUUUAAUAGUUAUGCAUAGUCUAUUUUUAAAAAAAAUCUGUGAGGUUGAUCAAAAUAAAAAAGAAAUAUUAGAAUUUCUAUAAUCAUGUUUGUGAUCGAAUAUUUGACUAUAUUUAUUUUAAUCAUUUUAUCAUAAUAAUUUUAUUACAAAUAUAGUUAUUUAUGCAUUCAAAUAUGAUAAGGAAUUGUGAAAAAGGGAAUUUACUACUAUUUUACUAUAUUGAUUUGUUCUAACCAGCCAUCACAAUAACCAUAUUUUGUAUAGCACAAAAGAUAUAAAGAAAAAGAAAGAUAAUCGUAAGAACCCGCUAUCUAGUAAAAUAAUAUAUAUAUAUAUAUAUAUAUAUAUAUAUAUAUAUAAAUCAAGGUACUGAAUUAACUAAUUUUAACAGAUAUUCUAUAAGAUAAUGAAAUCAAUGUAUAAUGAACUAUAAAUGUAGAAAAGUAAUUAAGUACCUGUUGAUUAUAAAAGAAAGAAAGGAAACAAAAAAGAGUACCUGUAGAGUAACGAUCGUGGUUAACUGGUCCAAAAUCGGGGAUACAAGUGCGUCAGCCAUUGUUGUUCUUACUACUGAAUGUGUCAAGAAAAAGGAGAGAAAGUAAUGGGGCGUUGUUGACUGAUGAAAUGAGAAGUUGAUGAAGAUAGGAAGGAUAGUGAUCGACUGUGGAGUGCCAGAGAAAAUUAAUUUGAGGUUAUUUUCAAUGAAGUUUAGGCAAUAUAUACUGCAAAUUAAGAUAAUUUGCUUAAGACUGAUGCAAGGUUGAUGCAAGCAAAGAAUGAUUCUGAACUUCAGCAUAAAGCAGCUAAUUUCCUACAAGGUUGAUGCAAGCAAAGAAUGUCACUGAAACAACGAGAAAAUAUGCGUAAGAAGGAAAAGGAAAAGGCAAAGGUAAGUCUAGAACUAGCCAUUGCUUCACUUUGGGUUCAAGUAUAAUGCAUCAGUCAUCAGUCAUUUUCCUAUUUGUAUGUUUAUAUGGAAAUGACCUGUCGUUUUGAGUUCCAAAAGUGAAAGGCCCAUUUUUUUGCCUUAAUUUUAAAACAAAUAAAUAAUCAUUAACAUACCUAAAAAUAAAAUUUAAAAAUUAAAAGAUAAAUAUAGAUCAAGAUAUUUAAUUUUACAAGAUGAGACAUUUAUCUAUUUGCUAAAUUUUUUUAUUAAUUUUUUUUAAUUUAAUCAAACAAUAAUAAAAAUAAACAAAUAUAUUAAAUUGAUUGAAUAAAAUAAAAAGAAAACAGGAAUAAUAUGCAAGGCUACACAUAUUAGAAAUAUCAUCUAAAAAAAUUGAUUGAAUAAAAUAAAAAGAAAACAGGAAUAAUAUGUAAGGCUACACAUAUUAGAAAUAUCAUCUAAAAAUAAAUAUUUUUUAUUUUUAAAAAUACAGUUCAUCUAUACAAAAGACAAAAAAAAUUAUAAAUAAAUCAGAAAAAUCUCUUUAAAAAUUAAACAUAUAACAAAAAAAUCAAUAUUAUUUAAAAGAUACUGUCUGAACAAAAUUCUACUGUGGAGCGCAAGAGAAAAUUAAUUUGAGGUUGUUCUCAAUGAAGUUUAGGCAUUGAGAACAAAGAUCAAAUUGGAUGUUUUGCACUUUGGAGUUUGGAUAAUGAUAUUGUAAUGUUUUGAAUUAAUGAGAUAGGAAAAGCCUAGAAACCCCUUGAAGGCUUAGAUGUAGGAAUAAAUUAAAUGAGGGGUAUAGUAGUAAUUGGAUAAAUAGUUGAUAAAUAUAAAUAGGAAGUAAAAAAAUAAAAUAAAUAUAGAAAUCUGAUUUUGAGAGGAAGAGAAUCGGCAGAAGUGAGAAAGGAAAGAAGAAGAAGAGAAAAGAGGGGAAAAUAAGGGGAAAAAGGAAGAGAAUUGGAGGAAAUAAGUGAAAAAGGUAAGAUUUAGGUUGUUUAAUGUGUAUAAUAUGUUAAUUAAGUUUUAAUUUCAGUUUUAUGAAUGUUAGGGUUUUGAGAAUUUGUGUUCGAUUUAAAUGAUGAAUUAAAUUGAAGGUUAGGGGUGAUUGUUGUUGUUUAAUUGAUGAUUUAGUUGAUUAUGGAAGAUUAUGAUGAUUUGAGUUAUAGAAUUGUGUAAAUGGUGAAAAUUGAGUUAGAAAUCAGGGAGAACAGUGGGGUUUCUGUUAAAAUCUGGACUGGAGGUUGAAGAUGACGAAAAAUUCAAUUUGGUCCCUCAAUUCAGAAAAUUACAGUUAGUCCCCGAACUUUGGAAAAUUACAAAUUGGUCCCUGGAGCAUAUUCCGAGAUUCUGAACAGAAUAACAUAUGAAUUAUGGACAUAAUUACUGUAUAGAUAAGAGAAUUUAACACUUUCAAUUUAGUCCUCCAAUUUGACAAAAAGUACAAUUUGACCCUAAAAAUUUAGUAAAAUUCCAGAAUGAUCCCUGAAGCAUAAUGAUACAUCCUGGACAGAAUUGAGGAUUAAUUAAGGUCAGAAUUUCAGUAUAUUCAUGGAUUUAUGACAAAUUUCAGUUUGGUCCUCCAAUUAGACAAAAGUUACAAUUUGGCCCUAAAAAUAUGAUAAGUUCCAGAUUAGUCCCUAGCUGUAAUAUUAGCUUUUGCAGAUUAGUUUGAUGAAUAAUUAAGGGUUAUUUAGUGAAUUAUUACCAAUUUUAUUAGUUGUUUUUAUUAUGGAUUAGAUUUCGGGAAAACCGUUAGAUUUUGGGUUUUUAAGAAAAUUGACUAGUUAGUUCAAAAACAUAUAGGGUUACGGAAUACACCCUUAGUUAAGUGUAUUAAAUAUUAAAUGUUCUUUCGAGUCGUUUUUGAAUAUGUCUCCUUUGUAUUCAGAUAAUCCUGAUAUUCUACCGGCAGGACGUCAGUAGAAUUUCCUUCGGUUUCAGCUUGUGUGUGUUGUUUGCUUUUGAGUCAGGUGAGUGGAUAAUUUUCCAUAUGCAUGAGAAAUAUUAUAAAUAUUUGAUUUGUUAAUAUGAAUUGGAUCAUGCUUCUUGAUAAUAUAUAUGCUGAUUAUUAUCCUUGAUAUGAUAAAGCAUGAUCAAUUAUUGAAUCUGAUUUCUUGAUAUGAACCAAUAUGAUUUGACUUCUGAAUUGAUAGCUCCUCAUUUGAUGGAUGUCAUGAGUUGAGCUUUGAGAUAUGAAUAUGUUUGUUUGAUUAUGAUUAUGAACCUAUGGUAUGUCAGUCAGAAUACCCAUGCUAACAGGGUAGUGUUAGUCUUUGUGCACAUCGUAUCUGAACCCUAGUUGGUCGGGGGAGUCACCAACCUGUGUGGACUGAUCAUCCCACAGUACGGAGCCUCAUGCUCAUUGCAUUUUGAUUUUCUGACGAGUUUUACCAUAUGAUAUUCUUGUUAUGGCCUAUUUGAUAAACCUUCGUAUAAGAACUAAAGCCAUACUUGUAUAUAUAUUUCUCAUUGUUAUAUUACCUCGUAUGUGUAUAUUGAAUGUUAUCUACUCACUGAGUUGUUGAACUCACCCUCUCAUUAUUUAUUCUUUUCAGGCUUAUAGCUUGAUAGCGGGUUACUUUUGUUGAACCUUCCGAACCUGCUUUUGGUUGUAAUUUGUAUCUUUCUUUUUAUGUCAAGUUAGUGCUCCAAAACUAUGAAAAAUUAUUAACUCUUGUAUUAAGACAAUUACAUUAUAUUAUGAAGUUGUUUGUUGUUAAUUAUGCGUUAAACUCUGAUUGAGUUGUUUAAAGGAUUGUAUGUAAGUUUGGGUUCGCAUAGGUUUGGAACCUUGGAGGGGAACCUUGCCUAUGUGCCGGUCAUGGAUCCGGGAUUCGGGUCAUGACAGAUAUUAAUCUUUGUUGUUUGGGGAUUAAGAAUUUGGUGAUAAAUUUCUUGUUGUGAAAUAGUUAUGGUAAAAUAUAAGAUAAAUCCUAGUGAACACGUCUUCCCAAAAUACACUGCGUGUACUGGACUCUCAAUGUUCAUUUUUGCCUCAUUUUGCCUUAAUUAAUUUUAACUGCAAAACAACUAGCUCAGUACCGCACCAGCAAACGAGAAUGGAAAAGCUCACCAAGAUGCCCUCAAAUUAAUGGAGUCAAUGGAGAAAAAAACUGGAGCUGCUGGAGGCCAGACGGCACAUGGUGGAAUAGUUCAUGCCCUGGCAUGCGUCAUCACUGUUCCACCAUGUGCCGUCGCGACCUCCAUUGAACAACAAUGAAAAACAUAUACGAAUUUAGCUUCAUGUCUUUAUAAGAGAAUUUCAUAAACAUACCAUAACAAAAAAUAUCAUAAAAUAAAUCUCUUAAAAAAUAAAAAUACAAUAAACAUGUAGGUUCAUAUUAUAAGAUAAUCAGUUUAUAUAAAUUGUUGACACCCCCAAUCAAUUAAGGAUCAAAUACGAUAUAUAUAAAUAUUAACAAUUAACAAGAUCUUAUUAGCAUGAAUAUUCUAACUAUUAUAUCAUAGGGUUAUAAUCAAACGAACAAAAUCAUUUUCUAAAAGCUCAACUCAUAUAAUUAAUUAAAUAAAAAACUAUCAAUUUAAAAAUACAUAAUUGCUCAAAUCAAGAAAUCUAUCUCAAUAAAUAAUAAUGUUUUAUAGAACAACAGAUAAUAAAUAUUAUAUAAAUUACUAAGAAGUACUAUCAAUUUAAUAUUAAUAAUUUGACUAUUUAUACUACUCCUCUGCAGCAUAUGAGAUAGUAAGUGAUAGAAUGGUCCCCAUGUUAUGGUUUAUAUUUUGCUUUAAACAGAGUAUAGUUGUACUAAAAAUACACCCCUUUCCCGAAAGGAAGGGGAAGAACACAAUCAAGGGAUUUCUUGUUGUUUGACUUCUCAUGUUUCUCUCCCACCACGGGCAACUGUUUAUUUUCGCCAAGGUGAAUUGAGGCUUCAAGUAGAAGAAAUUAUUUACUGGUUAGAAACUUGGUCGAUUUCACUGUUGUCUUUGAGACAAAUGAAACUGAGGUUUUUGGUUUGCAAUUUGGGCAGAUAAGGAUAAUCCUUAUUGUUUGGUGUUUGAGAAUUUGGUGCUAAAUUUCUUGUUGUAAAUUGCAGAAAAUAGUCAGGGUAAAAAUUUAAGAUGAAUGCUAGGGUACACAUCUUCCCAAAAUGCACUGGGUUCUGGAUUCUCAAUGUUCAUCUUGCAGUUUGACAAGAGAAUCUUUCCUUCACUUACACUAUCUUUUUGUUUGUUUGGCCGAUGCAUGAUUUUUUUACCUCAUUUUUCCUUGAUAAAUUCUAACUACAAAACAGCUACUUCACCAACAAGAUGGAAAAGGCUCACCAAGAUGUUCUCUUUGAAAAGAUUCUCAGUGAGUCGUUGACAUCUCAUUUUUGGAAUUUCUCCAAUAGCUUGAUGUCUACUCUCACUAUAUUGAGUAGGAUGACUAUAGAAUUACUCUGAUUUAUCAACACAUAUCAAAUUCUUGCUGCUGCUGAGGAAGAUAUCUGCACUUAGCCAUCAUAGAGGGUAGCGAAUUUUGUGUUGAUGGAAAUUACACUGACUCAUUGUGUACCAUCUAGAAUUCAAUUUUAAAAAAAAUUGCAAGAAAUGUUGUUUUUUCCUAAAUACAUCAAUCGGGUGUGGAUAGCUUGAUUAAAAUGCGACUUACUAAAAAGUCUUGGUCUUAAUAUGCAAAGAUGAUCCAAGUAUACCAUAUUUCUUUUAAAAUAAAACCCACAGAUCUAGUCCACGCAAAGGUACUGGAAUAUGGAUUUGUAAAAAUAAAAAUGAAAAUUUAUACGAAAUUGAAUUGUGCUAAAAAAACCCACAGAUCUAGUCCAUGAUCUACGGCUCCUCCAGAGUUCCGUAGUGGUGUCUUUCUCAACUAUUCUUUAAAUAAAAUGUGUGGGAUGUGAGAAAUCUUGUGCCUAUCUUCACCCCUCUCCUCCUUCCCGUAACGUUUCCUUAGAGAAUUUAUGUAGAGGCGCUGUCAAAACAUAGUCCGGUAGUGCUCUCAACAAUGGGCAUUUGAGAAUUCUAAACUCAACAAGUUGUGGCAUGAUGAAUAUUGAAGUCGUGGUGGAAUCUUCUUCUCCCACUCUCCUUUCAAUCCCAUCCCACUCCUCUAGUUCUUUGAGAUGCCAUAUGCUAAGUCUUUUCAAUUUGGGGAAAGCAGCGACUCUUGCAAUUUCUCCUUCAUUAAUAUUGGUAUUGCCACCAUUUUCUAUGCCUAAAAAUCCACCAUCCAACCUUCUCAGCUUCAUGCUCAUCCAUCUGAAAAUCUUGGAAGAAAGAACGUGCUACUAAGACUUGAAAAUACUCCUCUCCAACAAGCUCCAUACCUCUACUUGGAGUCUCCUUAAGAUAACCUUGAGCCAUCCACAUCUUCACCAACUGGUCUUUUUCCAUCUCGUAGUCUUUUGGAAACACCGUCUUGCCACAGAAGGUAAAUCGUAGUAACUCAAAAGCGGAGGUGGAAAUAGUGCUAUUUCAACAUGUUCUAGCUCCCACAGUUCGCUAGAUAAAACAUGUUCCCACUCUUCUCUUGUUCUUUUACACUGCACUAGACCUCCUAAUACCUUGGCAGCUAGAGACAAGCCCUUGAACUUGCUUGCAAGGAGAUCCCAGGAAGGAACAUCGUAUCUGCUGUAGGCUGUGAGUAUUUUCUUCAGCAUCCCUCAUUUUUCAUGUAAGAAUUGCAGAGCUCCAUUCAUCUAGCACAUCAUCGAUAUCAUAGCAUACAUCUUUGAGCUUGUCUAGCCAAUCUCUUGCAACCUUAUCCUUCACUUGCUUUCUAUCUGCAUCUUCAAGGACAGAUUGGAUAGCAAGGAGAUUGCUUUUCAGCUUGUCGACACACCCCCUACUAGGUUCACCUCUUCCUGUACCUAUUGGUGCAGAAAAGAUAAGAAAGUUGAAGCAGAGGAAACAUUUCUAUGAUUUCUUUAAACAGUAUCUCACAUAAUUUAAUCUCCUGAACUACUAACUAAAGUGUUGAGAGCCAAUUUAAGUUCUCAAGGCUGAAGACCCCAACUAGACUACUGUUACCUAGAAUUCAUUUUACCUACAAUACUCAGUAUGUGUGGCAGAAAAUCGCAAUACCUAAAUGGCUGAAUUUACAAGUAUAUCAAUCAAUUAUGUAAUGAACCGGGUGCAAGUGCAUGGCGCAAGUAUAUUAAACCUACUGAAUUUUUCUUCUACUUUUUAUAUACCAAACCUUGUAAAAAACACCACUGCUCAAAUUCAAAAAUAAAAAGUGGAGGAAAUUUUAAAGUGAUGUACCCCUCUUUGAGUGUCAAGAUAGCGGUGUGUACAGCAUCAUCAAGCUCCAUAUCAUCAGUGUAUCUACAGAGCACAUAUUAAGUUAGGGAAAACAAAAGUUGUUCAAAUCAAAUGAAGAUAUGUGGACAAAAAACAAAAAUAUUUACCAUGUUUCUGUCCAUUCAAUUCUUUUUUUCUCACUUUCUUUUUCUUUUUUCAAAAAAAAGAAAGGCAAUCCAAUUCUUCUUGGAUGGGGUGUAGCUCAAAGUAAGCUGGCAGUUGAAAAUUGAAGGUGGCUUGAUCUUUGAAUGAAGAAUAUGUUUGGCAGUUGAUGGCUGGAGGUGGAAACACAUUUGUUGCUAGCUAGGAGAACCCAUGAAGAUGUUUAGAAGUUUUUGCAGAAUCAAUGCAUUUCAUGGUACCAAAAACAAAUAAAUACCUCUUCUCAAGAAAUGUUUUUGCAUUUGAAACAUUUUUCCCCAUUGCUGAGGCUUUCCAUGAGAAGUAGGAACCUGAUGGAUCGACCUAGCCAAACAAAUACAAAACAUAACAUCAUCGAAAAUGACAAGAAAAUGAGAAAAAAAGAAGAAGAGAGAGAGCUUAAAUUGCAACAACAUUUGAUUCCGAGAGAAGUUUGGCCUGAUCCAACGGCAGUCAAUGCGUGCUCAAUCUGUACUGGCUUUCCGGUAGGACUGAAAGUAGUGAGAGAAAAGGAGUACUGGCUAUCACCCAUGGUUUAUUGCUUGAAGACGCAGAGAGGAAAAACUGAGAAUGCGAGCGUGUGGGAGAGAAAGGCAGGGAUAUUUACUUGGGGUUUUAACUUUGCUUUUCUCGUUGGAGAAGAAGGUGUUUUCUUACGAGGGCUUUUACAAUGGAGUAUAUUGGGCUUUUAUGACGGCAGGUUAGUCCUCUUUACAUUGAGCUCAGUGAAGGCUCGGAACCAGUUUUGUUUUUAAGAAUUAUUAACAAAUUUUAUUUAUUUAUUAAUAUACAUAAUUUUAAUUUAUUUAAUUACAUUUAUAUAUAAAAUUUUUAAUUUAUUAUAUUUUUUUGAACUAGAAAAAUAUAUUUAAAGAACUGCAUGUAUAAAUGUUUAUAAAAAAUAAAAAUAUUUGACUCACAAUAAAUCAUCCAUACUCUUAUAAAAAAGAUGAGUUGCUGCUGAAUUUUGUUGUUGAUUUGUAAUUUAAUUAUUGUUGAAGAUUUUCUGUGUUAGGUUUGGAUAACUUUAUUUGGAUUUAAUCCACUGAAACUGAGGUUUAAGAAUUUCUUGGAUUUAAUCCACUGAAACAGUUGCUUGAUCAAGAUCAUUGGCUUGUUUGUAGGCAGAUAAAGGCAUAAAAAAAAAAACAAAUAUCAUCUUAGAUUAAUUAUAGAUAUGAGUUACAGUAGUUGAAAUUUGAAAGGCAAUUUUUUUAGCGUGGCAUUUGGAGAAUUUAAGUAAGGAAUAAGCUUCACGUGAGCGAGUUAAUAUCACAGCUGCAUUUGAUAGAUUAAAUGAUAAGUAGGAAAUAAAAUCGAAUUACAGUAAAGUUUGAAUGAAAUCCUCCAUGUAAGUAAAGAGGUCACAUAGAGUAAAUAGUAAGGCUUACAUAUUAUUUACAUUCAACCUUAGCAAACACCAAAGCAAAUAAUUAAUACACUCAGAACCAAAUCUUUUACCGUAGAAGAAUUUACUUGUUCCUGCCGGUCCAACAGACUUCCGUACGUUGUGGUGUCCCAUAGAUAUGAUCACUAAAACGAAUGUUUGGGAUGUGAGAAAUCUUUUGCCAAUCUUCACCCAUCUCCUCCUUCCCGUAACGUUUCCUUAGAUUGGGGCACCUUUGUAUGUAUAAUUCCUGUAUAGGCGCUGCCAAAACAUAGUCUGGUAGUGCUCUCAACAACGGGCAAUGACGAAUUCUCAACUCUCGAAGUUGUGGCAUAAUGGAUAUUAUUGAAGUUGUGUUGGCAUCUUCUUCUCCCACUGAUCUCCUUUCAAUUCCAUCCCACUCUUCUACAUCUCCGAGAAAAAAAAACGUAAGUGUUUUUAAUUUGGGGAAAGCAGUGAUCCUUGCAAUUUCUCCUUCAUUAAUACUGGCAUUCUCAUCUUUUUCUAUACCUAAAAAUCCAGCAUCCAACCUUCUCACCUUCAUCAAAAUCAAAUCCAGGCUUUCAAGGUGGGGCAAUCUUCCCAACGGAGGCAAGACCUCCAGCUUUGUACAAUUAUCCAGUCUAAGCGCCUGUAAUCUGGUUAAUGUCAUCAUCCAAUUUGGCAAAUCCAACCCUCCGUACCCAUAUAUGCUUAGAUUUUCCAAGUCUGGCGGAGGCUGUAAAGCUUCAAUUAAAAUGCCGUUAUCCUGGUUGUGGUUGAAAUACAAUUCCAAACGAAGCAGGCGCUUCUUAUUCUUGAGUUGUGCUUCUGCAGCGUCACUCGCAUCUUCUUUACCUCCUCCUAGCUUCCGUAUCUCAAGACUCCCUCCAAUGUGAUUUAAGUCUUUUAAAUCUCUUAGAUUAGCUGCUUUACUUUCAUUCUCACCACCACCACACACACUAAACACAUCUAAUGUUUGAAGACAUGUUACCCUCUCUAUUCCCUUUGGUAUGAAGGCCACUCUUGAACCAUAAAUCCGGAGAUGCCUCAAUUUGAUAAGUUUUCCAAUCGCCUUGGGCAAUUCCUUGAGAGACCAACACCAAAUAACGUCUAGGGAUUGUAGAUUGCAUAAAUCACACAUGGUUUCUGGCAGGGACUCCAACUCUCCACAGGCUACCAAAUUGAGGUGUCUCAAAUGUAUCAAUUUCCCUAACUCCUUUGGUAUUUCUUUGAUUGAAGACCUUGACAAAUUCAAUGACCUGAUGCAUGUCAACUGUUUGAACAAAUCAGGCAGUGCAGCUCCAAGCGAAGGGUCUCUAGUGUCGAUCAAGAGGCUGCGAAGACCUUUUGCUUUGUGAAUGGACACGGGAAAAGAGGUCUCGUUGGGCAGCAUCAUGCUUAAAUGACGAACCCUUUCAAUUGAAGUCUCCAUUGUUGCUUCUCCAAGUUUACUGGCAUCCACUGUUAGACAUUCAUUUUUUGUCAUAUAUUGGGCAAAAUCAUGCACUAUAUCAUGCAUCUUGAAUCUAAUAUCUUCUCGACCAUACGUCUUAAAAUCUUGGAAGAAAGAGCGCGCUGCUAAGACUUGAAAGUACUGCUCUCCAAUAGCCUCCAUAUCUCCACCUGAAGUCUCCUUGAGGUAACCUUGAGCUAUCCACAUCUUCACCAAAUCAUAUUUGCGCAUCUCGUAGUCUUUUGGAAACAUGGCACAAUACAAGAAACAUCGUCUUACCACAGAAGGUAAAUCGUAGUAACUCAAAAGCAAAGAUAGAAAUAUUCCUCUUUCAACCUGAUCUCUAUCAACCUCAUCUAGCCCCCACAGUUCGCUAUAUAAAACACGCUCCCACUCUUCUCUUGUUCUUUUAAACUGCAUUAGACCUCCUAAUACCUUGGCAGCUAGCGGCAAGCCCUUGCACUUGUUAGCAAUUUUAUCACCGAUAUCUGUCAAUCUUUCACGCUCAUCUUUGCUUCUUUCCUGGAAUGCCACAUGAUUGAAUAUUGACAUGCAUAUCUCAUCAGACAAUUUCUCAACAUUGAUCUGGUGGUCAGUUCCCAUAAUCGUUGCCACAGUGCCCUUACGAGUGGUCACUAGAAUUCUGCUUCCUCGUGCACAGCCUGUGAAAGAUGGUUUCAGUUGUUCCCAUUGCCUAUGAUUGUCUGUCCAUACAUCAUCAAGGACAAGAAGCAACCUCUUUCCCUUAAUGGAUUCAGAAACCAUUUGCAAAAGGGAUUGCAAUUCAAUCAAAUUCGGUUCACUCCCUUGAAGCUGCUCAAGGAUAGCUUUUGCUAUUCUAACCUCAUCAAAUGGUUCUGAAACACAUACCCAUAUCUUUUUCUCAAAAUGAGCCGUUACCUCAGCAUCCUUAAAAGCUAGUUGGGCGAGAGUUGUUUUUCCAAUUCCGCCCAGCCCUACUAGAGUGAUGACAUCAACGUCCCGUGCUUCCUGACUACUUUCACCCACCAACUUGCUUACAAUAGUUUUCUUUUCAACAUCUCGACCAAUCACGCUUGAUUCAUCAACAAAGGAGGUACUUGUUAGUCGUUGUAGUUCAUCAGUGGCUCUGUACAGAUCAAAGCCAUACAUAACUCUCUCUUUGGCAAUGUCAUCCACUUUUUCACAUACUUCUUUGAUCUUAAAGGCAAUGUCGCGACGUCGAACCACUUGAUUGAGACAAAAGCGAGGAGAUCUCAGGAAGGAACAUCGUAUCUUCUGUAGGCUGCGAGUAUUUUCUUCAGCUUCCUCCAUUUUCCAUCUAAGAAUUGCAGUGCUCCAUUCAUCUAGCACGUCAUCCAUAUCAUAACAUGCAUCUUUGAGCUUGUCUACCCAAUCUCUUACAGCCUUAUCCUUCACUUGUUUUCUAUCUGCAUCUUCAAGGACAGAUUGGAUAGCAAGGAGAUUGCUUUUCAGCUUGUCACAUUGUUUCUUCACACCCACUACUAGGUUCACCUCUUCUUGUACCUAUUAGUGUACAAAGGAAAAGAAACGCUAAGCAUGGGAAACAUUUCUGUGAUUUCAAGACAAUUUCACACCCCCUACUAGGUUUACCUCUUCCAAUACCUAUUAUUGUAGAACAGACAAGGAAGUUCAAGCAUAGGAAACAUUUCUAUUUUGUAUUAAUAUAUUUUAUUGUGAAAUGGAUUUACUAUAUUAAUAUUUUAUAUAUAAUUAAUAUAGGCAUGAAAAGAGUUCAAUAUUCUCACGAGAGAAGUAAUAUUUCUCCUUUGAACCGACAUAAAAUCUGGUUUUCAUUUUACAUUAAACUAUAGAUAUAUGGAUGUAUAAAGGCAAGUGAAUAAAAGGAUCUGCAUGUAUAUAUUUGUGAAGUCAAUUUAGAAAUAAAGGCAUGAUAAUAAGAUUGUGUGAUAACUAUAUAGUUUUAAUUCACACCAAAUACUCACUCGCUAAUCCUUUGAACUUUUUAUUGAUUAUUUUACCUUUAAUAGUUCAGUUUAAAGAGAAUUGGCAACUCUUGUUUUGUCUUUUUUGGUUUUCUUAUAUUUGGAAUGAUAUAUUUUCUUUAUGUUAUUUUUAGAAAUAUAAAAAAUAAUAAAACUAGAAAAAGAAGUCUUUAAUAAAAUCGAAAUAUAUACUUGAGGAUUUAAAAUAUUAUUUUUAUUUUUUCAAGUUAAAAGUAUUCAUUUUAUGAGAGGAAGAUAAAAGGCUUGAACUUUAUAUAUAUUUCUUAUCUUUGCCAGGUAAAUCAGGUUAUUGCAGAUGGCAGAAAAAUACCUGUUGAGCAACGAUCGUGGUUAAGUGCUCCAAGAUCGGAGAUAGAAGUGCCUCAGCCAUCGUCUGUUUAGUUCUGAUUGGAGAGAGAGAAGCAGUGAUGAUAGGAAGACAGAGAGAAAGAGAGGGUGAAGGGAAGGAGGCGGCUGAUUGUGAAUGGAAGUUAGUUUAUAUACUUAGGGUUUGGCGUUGCAGGUGAAGCUUUUGUAUUUUAGUGUCUCCACAUUUUCUUAUUAGUAUUUGUAGGGACAGGGUAAAGGGAGAUCAGCGCACCUUGUAAUUUUAGCUGGCAGUAAACCUGAAGCAUAGUUUUAAAACCCGGACCGGCCCGGCGGGUCGAUCUGGGACCGGUUCGGGUGAAGGCCAAAACCCGUUUGGAAAUUGACCCGGCUAGACCGGGGACCUGGUUGACCCGGCAAGACCCGGUCUCAAACCCGUUGACUUUUAUUUUUUUUUGUUUUUUUUUUUUUGCUAAAACGACGUCGUUUUGAUUUUUUUUAAAAAAAAUAAAAAAUAAAUUUUGACCCGGCCGACCCGGUCAAGACCCGAUGACCAGGUCAAAACCAGGAACCCGGGCCUUGGACCGGGCCGACCACCGAGCCGGAUCUUAAAACUAUAACCAGAAGUAAUGAGAAAAUAAUUUUAGCCAGCCGGCCCAAUCUAUUUUAGGCUAAUAGUGUGUUAGGCAAAACACAUAUAAGCCUUAUCCCUUUAUUUUAUUAUUUUUUAUUUUAAUAUUUAGCUAAAUAAUUUUUUUUGAAAAUCAAAAAUCAUUAUGAAUGUUUUUGAAUUUAUUUAUGGGUUUCUUUUUUUAUUAUUAUUCAUUGUAUAUUUGUAUAUUUGAUUUUGUGGAUUUUUAUGGUGGAAUGUAAAUAUAGUAUACGAUACAUUUGUUUCUCUUAAAAAAAUAUGUAUGUUUUAAUUUAAAUUCAUUUUAUUCAUUAAUCUAACAACUAUGUAAGUUUCUAGUGACCUUAAGAUUUGUGAGACUGGAACUAGUAAUUUGAGGUUCAACAUCCCAGGUCGAGAAUUAGGUCUUAAUAUGGAAGGGUUAAUCUAGGUUAACCUAAUUUUUUUAAUAAAAAAAUUAAAAUAAUAUCGUUUUGACCGAAUUUUUUUUUUCCAAAAACAAAACUACCAAUAUUUAAACAAGUUUUACUUGAGUCUAUCGGGAUAUUUUAACCAGGUCAAACCAUAUUAAUUCUUUUCUUUAUUAUAUUUUUUUGAAGUUCUUACCUUUAUUACCAAAAAAAUCCCCUUAAUUUCAGAGUCCUUACAUCUCUAAUUAAUUAUAAUUACCUUACCAGUCAUAAUGUUCUUUUCUGUACCUGAUGAAUGAUAUUAUUUCUGAGAUUUUUGAACAUGUAAUGACGGAAGCCUGCGCUGGGCUGGUUCCCUUUGUUACGUUGCUGGAGUCGCAAUGUUUCGAGGUAUCAGACCAAAUUAAUUCUCUUGCUUUUUGCAGCAAAGCUGUAUCUCUUGCUACUUGCUAGAAGCGUAAUCUCAGGAUACCACUGUUUUGGUGUUGCCUCUCUCACCAUUGUUAUUAGGUUGAAUUAAAUACCAGAAGAUUUCUGAGUAUGCAAUGACUGUAUGAUUUAACUAACCAAUACACUAUCAAGGGUGUGGCGUAUGAACUUCAUGCGCCGGCGUGUGUCACCACCGUUCCACCGUGUGCCGUUGCGGCCUCCCCAUUGAAGGUCCAAUUUUCAAGCUCACAAGCAUGACAUCUUUAAACCUUACUUGAGGUUCAACAUCCUAGGUCAAGAAUUAAGUCUAGCAUGAAAGGUUAAUCCAAGUUAAUUUAAUUUUUUUUUAAAAAAAAAAUUAAAAUAACAUAGUUUUGAUUGAUAUUGAUUUUUUCAAAAAAAAAAAAUCCAACAAUAAUUAUAUUUUAACCAGGUCAAUUCAUAUUAAUUCUUUUCUUUAUUAUAUUUUUUGAAGUUCUUACCUUAAUUACCAAAAAAUAUCCACUUAAUUUUGAGAUAUAUUCAAUUUGGUUUUGUAAACAGUACCUUAACAUAUUUUGAUUGAAAUUGAUUUUUUUUUUAAAAAAACCCAACAAUAUUUAAAUAAGUUUUACUCGGGUCUACCAAGAUGUUUUAACCAGGUCAAGGCAUAUUAAUUCAUUUUUUAAAUUAAGUUCUUACCUUAAUUACCAAAAAAAAAAUCAGCUUAAUUUUGAGAUAAAUUAAAUUUGGUCCUAUAAACAGUACAUUUUAUUUAGUUGAUCCAUCGAAUAUCUGGUGCUAUUCAAUUCAAUUUAACCAAACUUUUAUUUGGUUGAGAAGAAUUUGACAAUCAGAAUCCUGUAAUAUUGAUGAUGGCUCUUGAACUGGAAACCAUGUUUAUAUCGCAGAUAUAUUCUUGGACACCAUUCAUAUAAAGGUGAACAAUUAAGCACUCUCAAAAACCAAAUCAUAGGGAAGAGCUCAUCAACUCGAGCGCCACCAGAGAUUUACAUUUGCAUGUGAGUUGGGAUGCAAGAAUCAAUGAUUCUUAUGAGGCUGAUCACACAAUUCUAUGUGAAUUUGGGUGCGCAAUACUUUUAAGGAGAGAACUCAUCCUAGUCCAAGCACAUUAAACUUCGGAAUUCUUAUGGCAUAAGGUGUACGAUACUAAAUACACAAGUCCUAGUUAAUAUCCUCUACCAUGCAAUGCAGUGGUUCAGUCGCACCAUUUCAAAUUGUUAUUAUGUCUAUAAUCUAUGUUCAGGUACUGCAAUCUAUCUUGAAUUCAUGGUCUUCACUUAAUAACAAGUUUGGUCUGGAGAAUCCUUUAACUUGAAAGGGGACUUGUCUUUUACUUGUAGAAAUGCCAACAUUAAAUUGUUAAUAUUAAAUUUUUUUCUAUUUAGUUAUUAAACUUUCAUGACACGGAUUCCGGGUUUGACAGGUUAACCUGGUUUGACGAGUUAACCCAGUUAAUUCUGGGCUAACCCAUUAAUUUGUUUUUUCCUUUUUAAUUAUCAAACUUUCACGAUGUGAAUUCAAGGUAUGAUGGGUUAAUCUGGUUUGAAAGGUUAACCCAAUUAAUUCAUAUUUUUUUUCUUUUUUUUCAUUAGUUUUUUUUUUCUGUUGGUUUUUUUCUUUGUUUUUUUCUUUUUAACUAAUCUAUUUAAUUAUCACACUUUUAUGACACGACCUUGCAGCCAGAUCUACGUCCAAUGCUAUUGGGUAUAGUAUUGUAGUGCAUACACUUUUAUGCUAAGAGUUAACCCAAGUUUAAUGUUAUUAUUAAUAUUAUAAAUAUUACUCUUGGAUCAGGCGUUGCAACUAAAUCUAAAAUUCUUGGAUAUAACUUUGUAAAAAAACCUAAUAUUUUUAGAUCUUGGCUUUUUUUUAAAUGUAAAAAAUAAUUAACCUAUGGCAUCGCGCGGGGCAUGUAACUAGUAAUUUCUAAAAGGAAACUCAUCCUAAACUUCGGAAUUCUUAUGAAUUAAGUGUACCAGGCUAAAUAUCCUCUACCAUGUAAAGUAGUGAUUCGGUCGCUCCAUUUCAAAGUAUUUUUAUGUCUAGAAUUUAUAUGUUUUGGUAACUUUUUUUUUUUUCUGGGUGUUCAUGGUCUUCACUUAAUAAAAGGUUUGGUCUGGAGAGUCCUUGAACUUAAAAGGGGCUGUGAUGGCAUUUGGAAGGCACACGUACUGGGGGACUUGUCUUUUACUUGCAGAGAUCAUAUCCAUUGGUGAACAUUUUUCGCGUUAGGUUUGGAUAACUUUAUUAUGAUUUAAUCCACUAAAUCAAUGUGUAUCAUGUUUAAAAAAGAAAAAAGAAAAAACAGAGAGAGAGAGACGAUGUGAGAAUAAAUGGGAAGUAGGAAAUAAAAUCCAAGUCAACAAUAGAUUACAAAUGAUUACAAUCCAAUUACGGUAAGGAGGUGUAUGAAACAAACGGUGCUUAAUACAACACUGAAUGAAAUCCUCCAUUUGAUUAUACCAGAAUGCCCUUCGAUUUGAUUCCAAAAAUAUGAAGGGAAAAUCUUCAAAUGCACAAAGUAAAUCGGAACCCACAGUGAAGUAGCUCUUCAGUAUCUUCUAAGCCCAAGCUGUCAAACACAGACCAAAAGCAAACGUGUCAUAACCAAAAUAACCCAAUGAAUGGUAGAUGUUAAAAUGAGCAUUCCAUUUUCUGAAUGAAAAAAAUCCCAGUGACCUAGCUAUGACUUACAUAAUUAAUUAAAAUGGAUUUGUUAAAAUAUAGUAAAAUAUUAUACCGUUAAGAAUUAACACUGGUAGAAGAAUUUGUUGGGCGGAAUCCAGCGAUCGGUGAUGAACUGAUUAUUACUUAACGGAGGGGCAAGCACACUGACAACAAUAUUUUACGUGGUUCGGCAAAAUCACCUACAUCCACGGGAGAGAGUCCAUUUAUUAGAGAUUAGAAAAAGGAUAUAAUAAAUAUAUAGAGGAGGAUCUAAUCACUCAACUCCCAUCUCUCUUGCUGUCCUUGCAGCUGCUGCAAUGGCUGCUGCCAUUGCAGCUCUCUUUUUCUCUCUAUCCUCUUACGUUUCUCACACACUCCUCACCAGAUUUAGCUCUCUUUGCAUGCUUCUUUUAUAGGCAAUGAAUGGUCAUCAUGGAGGGGCCAACAUGCCACCAUUAGUGGCACUAAUGGAGCAACCACUUGCUUGGUGGUGGUGGCCACUUGCUUGGUGGUGGGGGUAUUGCCAAUAAAUGGCAAUAUCCUAACAGAAUUUACAUGCUCCGUCCGGUUCUAAUUAAAGAGUUCUGUCUUUCUCACCUAUAAUAAUAUAUCAUGAAAAUAAAUGUUUGGGAUGUGAGAAAUCUUUUGUCAACCUUCACCCAUCUCCUCAUUCCCGUAACUUUUCCUUCGAAUGCGGCAACCACUUAUGUAUAAUUCCUGUGGAAGGGCUGCCAAAACAUAAAAGCUGUCCCGUUUAUGUUGGAUUAUGCAAACAUGGAGGUAUCUAUAUUGAUUCUGAUAUCACAGUCUGAAUUUAUUGUCUUCCGUUAGUAAAUCUAUUGGUCUGAAGAAUCCUCUGUCUGGAAGUUCUUUGAAUGGGGCUGUGAUGGCAUUUAGAAAGCACAGGCACCAGGGGGCUUGCCUUUCACUAGCAGAAAUCAUAUUUAUUGUUGAAGAUUUUUUGUGUUGGGUUUUGAUAACUUUAUUUGCAUUUAAUCCACAAAAUCGAUGGGUAUCAUCUCUUUUAGAUGAAUGGUUUAGCUUCCAAGUCUACCAUUCUCUCAUUUAUUUGGACUUAAUCCACUGAAACUGAGGUUUUAUUUGCGCGGAUAAUGAUAAUAUUUGGUGCUAAAUUUCUUGUUGUGAAUUGCAGAAAACAGCUGCUUGAUCUUCACUAGGAUGGUGGUUGCAAAUAAUAAUUAUGCAACCCGGUACGAGUUGCAUGUUAAAUAACUAGUGUAUAUGUAGAUACAGAUGAUGGUAUUUUUUUUUUAUAAUGACCCGUCCGUGUCGUUGUAAGAGGGGCCACCGUUGAUUGUGCCUUGGCCAUGGAGUGAUAUUCCACGCACCACCAACACUGUUCAAGAGCCACACGAACAUGGAGGAAUUACAGGGGCUGGCAGGGGCAGGGUCCUGCAAGGUUUUUUUUUUCUUCAAUAAAUUAGAUUUUUAUCUUUAAAAAUAUAAAAUUUAAAAUUUUGGCCCUCCCUCUAAAAUCUUUUAUCUAAUUUGACAUUCCCAAACUACAAUUCCUAACUCCGUUGCUUACUAUACACACGAAGUCAUUGUUUUAUGAUGAAAAAAUAAUAAAUUUUUUCUUCUUUUCUUGUAUUUUUAAAUUUUGGUUUUCUUUUAUCUUAGAUUUUAUGAAUGAUGAAUUCCAUAACAAGGAUGAUACAUGCCCAUUAAUCAUACAUGUCAUUAAUAACUUUAAAACAUAGACACCUAAUGGUGAAAAUUAUAGAUACAACCAUCAAUUAAAAAAUAAAAACAGCGAUUAAAUAUAUAAAAAAAGUAAUGGAAGUACAAGAAAUAAAAUAGAAAAAUUAAAAUUAGAGACACUUCCAUUGAAAAAUAUAAAUAAUUAGAGGCCCUGAAAACACUAUACACACACACAAGAUUAAGCGCAUUGAAUAAACAACAUGGAUUGUUGGAGUGGCUGUUUUUCCAGGCCUUGGUGAGGUGGUGCAAGUAAAUGAAUUCACACCAAAUACUCACUCGCUAAUCCUUUUCAACUUUUUAUUGAUUAUUUUACCCUUAAUAUUUCAGUUCAAGGAGAAUUGGCAACUCUUGUUUUGCCUUUUUCGGUUUUCUUUGUUAAAACUUCCUAAUCGUGUAUACGAGCAUAAAAGAAUAAUAAUAAUAAUAACAACAACAAUAAAAAUAAUUACUGCAUUAAUUUUUCUCGGAAAAUGUUUUGAUGGGCACCUUUACAUAUUUUCCAUAGAAAGUGUCUAAGAUGCUCUAUGAUAAGAUUUCAAUCCAAUUAAAUAUUUUACAUAUUCAUGGAAAAUCCUCUCCUUGAAUUCUUUUUGCCUUUAUAUCAUAAAUUUUUUAAAAAAACCCUAUUCAUGUUAAAACAAACUUUUCUAUUUUAAUUUUUAAAAAUAGAAUGUUUAAUAAGAGAUAUUAUUAAAUAAUCAUAUAAUAUUAUAAAUAUUAUUAUUAUGAAUUUCACUUUUCACAUGAACAAGAAAGUAUUGCAUUAAAAAUAUCUAAUGAUAAUAAAAUUCUCUUAUUAUACAAGGUAAUUAAAGUUUUUUUAACUCAAUAUAUGUUGAUCAAUACAUGGAUGUAAUUAUCCUGUUAUUUGUGGAUAUCAUUAAAUAAUUAGUAAAAAAAAUAGGUUUUCAUGAUUAGAAAAAUAAAGAAACUUUGAAAAAAAAGAGACAAAAAAAGACAUAAUAUUUAAUGUCUUUGAUUAUUUAUUUAAAAAUUGAUAUUUAUUAACAUUUUGAUACUAGAUAAAUGGGGGAUCUAAUCGGAAAUGUAUUUUGUCUGUAACCCAAAUGAGAAUAAAAAGAUAAUCGGAGGAAAAACAAGUUGUCCUUUUCCCAAAAUAAAAAUAAAAGAGAGGAUAUGGUGUGGACAUUGAGAAAACAAUCAUUUUCAAUAACAACUGAUUAUAGUCAAUUUCAUCCAAAUACUUAUCUCUUGGAAUGGUGUUUUUUUUUUUUUUUUUGUAAAAAAAUCAUUUCCUAUAAUAGUAUUCCAUGCUAAUACAAGAGUUCGGAGGUUUGAUAUAAUAUAAAUAUGAAUCACAUUAAUUAUUUAAUUCCAUCCUAAUAACUGAAAUCCUUUUCUUUUGAGUUCUAUGGACCUGAUCAAGGAACAUUAAUCAUGCAGGAAGAGCAGGCCUCCAUGCCCUUAUGCAUUGUUCUGAUUACAGUGGUAACCUGUUCAAUUUGAUCUUCGCUUGAGCAUGCUGAUAGAAGUACUUUGGCAGUUCCUCCAUCAGGGUGACAUCCAGCAUCGAUCAUUUCUUCAAAGAUUUCCAAGCAUCUUGCGUAUAGUUUCUUUCUAGAGUAGGCUCCCAAUCUUGAAGUCCAAGUCACAACAUCAGGUUUCAGAUUUUUGGUUGGAAGUGAUUGGAAAAUACCUUCCAUUCUCUCGAAAAAUCCUGCUCGUCCAUAUAUGUUGAUUAAGAUGUUGUAUGUACUGAUAUCAGCUCCAUAAGGUCCCUUUUCCAUUGCAGUUAGAACUUCCUCC
Molecule: long non-coding RNA, 49448 nt
Filed under: Populus tremula
Lineage: Eukaryota; Viridiplantae; Streptophyta; Magnoliopsida; Malpighiales; Salicaceae
Description: long non-coding RNA (PTRE_LNC003208)
Source: RNAcentral